RNAcentral lists this long non-coding RNA (63972 nucleotides) under Brachypodium distachyon (stiff brome). Its description in RNAcentral is "long non-coding RNA (BDIS_LNC003836)". The record is from RNAcentral. Lineage: Eukaryota; Viridiplantae; Streptophyta; Magnoliopsida; Poales; Poaceae.
UGUGAUGUUGUGCUCCACACUGAUGCCAUUCACAGAGGCGGUGGGCAGGUUAUCCCUACGGCCAGGAGGGUCAUUUAUGCUUCUCAGCUCACUGCUAAGCCAAGGCUGCUGGAGCCUGUCUACCUGGUGGAGAUCCAGGCCCCGGAGAACGCACUUGGUGGUAUUUAUGGUGUUCUGAAUCAGAAGAGAGGGCAUGUGUUCGAGGAGAUGCAGAGGCCUGGUACCCCACUUUACAACAUCAAGGCUUACCUCCCUGUUAUCGAGUCCUUUGGGUUUUCAAGCACACUAAGGGCUGCAACAUCCGGUCAGGCAUUCCCUCAGUGUGUGUUUGACCACUGGGAUAUCAUGUCUUCCGAUCCCUUGGAGGCCGGCACCCAGUCUGCCACCCUUGUCACGGAGAUCCGCAAGAGGAAGGGGCUCAAGGAACAAAUGACUCCUCUAUCUGAAUUUGAGGACAAGCUCUAAGAAUUUUGGUGCUGUUUUAUCCUGCUAUUAAGAGAAUUUGUAUCUUUUGGUACUCUUAUUUCCUUGAGUUGUCUAAUGCCUGUCAAACGAUCAUAUUACUGUCUGGCAUGUUGUACCACCGUAUGGUUAAGUCGUAGUGUUUUCUGAUUAUGCCUUCAUUUUCUCGUGGGUCUUCAGAGUUUCAGUUCACUGUUUGUGCUUCUACUGCAUGUUGGCCGUUUUGCUCUUUAGCUACGGAGUAUAUUUCUGUUUCUGCCCUCUAUUUGGUGCUUUGCCAAGAAGAGAUGUGUAUGUUUUGUUUCUUUGUUCACUUGCUUGGGGUGUGAACAUGUUUUAGAGGCCGGUGCUGAGUUGCUUAAUAACCUGCACGCAUUACUGCGGUUUCUUUUUCCUUUUCAUUGCGUGCCGUUAUCUCUUACUCCCCCCGAUCCGUAUAUCAAAUUUGUAUCUAUCUAUGUUUAAAAAACGUCUGGAUACAUGUAAUAUUUCAACUAGUAGUUCCGGUUAGUUCCGGUCGGAGUGAGUAACAUAUUUUAAGAAUGGCAUUGCGUCCCGUUGCAAUUCUUUAUUGCUUGUGAAAAAAAAAAUUCUAGCCGAAUGUUGCAAUAGCAUGCUGGCAUUGCAUUAAGUUGUCAAAUCUUUUUAUUUUUACCAUGCAGAAAAUUAAAAACCCAAAAAUGAGCAGGUGCGCCGUUCUCACAAGUUGUCUAACAAAUCUUGACCUAAUAAAUCUAUUUAACCUAAUGUCAUAGAGUUUUCUAUCUCAGAUAUAUAGGUGCAGGUGGAGCACAUUCGAAUUACAUUUGAUAUGGGUUUCGAGAGGGAUCGCACCUCUUGACCGGCGGAUCUAACUGAGGCUCAUUCCUGCUGGGCCGAACAUCAGUAGAAGCUGGUGGACUGGAAGACGAGUAAACGGUUGCAUAGCUUGCCGUAAGGGCUGCUGUCGGGUUCAUUUCCAAAAGAGGCUUCCGAUGUCAAGCACACAUUCUUUCGACUAAUUCCUAUCGGCUGUAUGGAUAAAAGAUCAUCAAAGGAUAGCCUUCAUCCUGAUUGAAGGGCUCGGUUUCUGAUCACUUGGGAGUGGCUUAUUUAUCUCGAUAUUGCUUAUCUUGUUUUCAAUGUAGACAUUGAAUGUCCUACCCGGCCGCAGCUCUCUCCCGACAACCUCGCUGUCCCUUCUCUUCUCUCUUCUCUCUCUCUCUCUCUCUCUCGUCUGUUUGUGCUGCAGACCCGGCGGCCGGCGGCCCCUUCCCGCCUCCUCCCAGCAGGUAGCGGCGCCUCCCUUCCCGUCCUCCGGCCGACGCACGUGUAAGAGGCUGCAACGCCUCCACUGCCCUCCUCCAGUCCAGACGACGUAGGUGCAGAGGUAUCGAAUCCUCCGAUCCACUCCCUCCUCAGACCGGCGCAGGUACAGGACGAUGCGUCCCCUCCCCGCUUCCUCACCUCUUCACCCGACCUCUCUAUCUCUCUCUCUGCAGCGCGCGUGUGCGAGAUUAGGAAAACGACAGGCGACCUGCACCCUGAUCUACAAGUUGGGAAGCAGUGGAUCUGAAGUUGCAUUCCGUAUGAGACUAUGUAAUAAUGUGUACAUAACAGUAUAAAAGCUGUAUAGAAUAGCACUAGUUGGUUAUGCGCUUGGCCGCGCUGGUGAAUUUUUUUUAAUCCAAAGAAUGACAGAGCUCAAAACUUUUAGCCCACGGAACGGGCGGAGUUACGGAAAGAAUGAAACUUUGUUUCCACCUUCGCCCGGAAAGAAGACGCCGGGGCAUUUCGUCUGGGCAGACGCAUCCCACCGCGACAAACAUGCUGAUAGGACGCUAGAUUCCGUGUACCCGGGUUCCCGUGCGAUGCACAAAGGCACGCUAGAGCAAAGGAGCAGCACAGGUCGUCGGCGGGGUCCUAUUUGUGUCGUGCCCCACGGACCGGAGAGCGUGGAGAGCAACGACUGUCGUCCAAGCAGCUGCCGCCCAUCUAGCGUGCGUUCCCCGCCUAGGAGGACCACCCAUGACACUACGUGACAUCCGCAAAGUGACACGCAUACGAAAGUACAUCCCCAGAGCAGUCUAUAUAAAAAGGUCGAACAACUAGCAUACGUGCAUUACCAUUCUACCAGCCGUCGUGCCAACAGCCGCCCUCACCAUCGCACACCAGCUGGGAAAAUCGACAGUAACAUCAUGGACUUUGCGGCGCCGGGUAAGUGUCAACCUCACCGUCUUUUAACUGCACCCACUUGCCGGACCAACAUUUUCCACCCACUUCACCGUCAGCCGAAAAGCUGACACAGCCUAUUUGCCUGCAGUCUCGGUGAUUGUGUGCGUGCCGCGACAGAUUGUCUUGACGGAAGCAACGAAUCAGCAAGGCAUGGCCGCCGCCGCAUACCAGACAGUGGAAGCCAGGGGCGGCUACACCUCCACGGUCCGGAUGGAGCUGCCGACAAGGUGCCAUCUAGAAUGCACUGAGAGCAUCACCGCAAAUGGACGAAUGUCUGCCACCACCAUUGCAGCAGAGGAAGACGCCGCUAACUCCAUGAUCUACGUGCUAAGGAAGAAUCUAAAGAUCCAGUUCAACGACGCGAAUCUACAUCGUUUCAUCCACUGCCAUCGCAAACAUAGGAUGGUUCGAGCAACCCUGGGGACCAUGAUCGAGAAGCACAUCGAUGCGGCAAAGAAGGCCAGGUUGAUGGAGGAAGGCUGGCGAGAGGCUCUUGCGGACCUGAAGGGCGUGCAUGACGCUUGCACAGGGCUACCCUCGCACGACGGAAACCCGCUCGAUACCCCCGAGAUCCAUAAGGAUCACGUGGAUGUCGCGUGCGUUCCCUGAGCACACGAGCGCUUCGACUAAGACACCGCAAAGCUCUCCGCGGCGCGUCCAGAUGGUAGCCCCUAAGUUGUGCCCGGUUUUGCACCAACAAGGUUACCCGGCUGCAUCUCUGCUGUGUUUCCUAAAAAAAACAAGGUUACCAGGGCACCGUAGGCCUGGAUGUCUUUUUGUUGUUGCUGUCACCCGAAAGAUCGCGCUGUUUGAUGUGUCUUGAGCCAAGUGUAUGUCACAUGCAUGUAUCUAAGCAUCAAUCUGAGCAAAUAUGACCAGCAAGUCCUCGCGCUUUUGCGUGCUUCCUCGGUAUGUCAUAACGAAAAAGCCGACAACCCGUUGCCUCGGUAAAAUGUAAUAAACCAAAGGGUCUAUCGCGUUGAUACAGACGGGUCGCGACCGUUGUCCAACGCUCCAACACAUAACGCAUUUUACCGACACCUACCGCAAUGUACCUGCUUCGGCAGUAAAUGCGUACAUCGAAGCAGAUGAUUUUUUUGUUAUCUAUCCUCGUUUGGACAACCCACCCACGCAGGAACACACACCCACCGUUCCAAGCGCAAGAAAUGCGCAGAUGCCGUUUUUCAGUGUUUUUUCCGGGCAUUUCUCCCAACCCGUGCAAGCGUUGAUUGUAUUGCCUGUACUGAGUAUCCGAAUAAAGGACAUGCCGCUCCAUUUACGUUUUUUUGCCAAGCCAUGCGAAAUACCAGAAUAUCUGAUUAUCCCGUUUAACGCGCGAUUGAGAUCUAGCGUGCGAGGGCCCAACUUGGCUGCGUGCGCAGGCAAGCUUUCUCUACGGGUAGUUUCUACAGACCAUGCCCCGCGUGUGUUUGGUCCCGGCACCAAACAACAUGUUCGGGACAACGGCCAUGCCUGCCUCCGUGGUCACGAUAAUUUUGCCCCAACGGGUGGGGCGCGACCACAAUGACGACAGUGAGGCCGCGAAAAAUAAAAUCGAUAGCACGCAACACGACCUCCGCAGAGCGCGUGGCUGGCCUGUACGACGCUGUCCAGCCACCAUUCGGUCAAUCGUCAUCAUUCCUGCACAGCGCGAAACAACUCGAGACUCCUAGCGAAAGAACCUGCCAAUUGUGCGGUGCACGAGGAAAAGGGUCUACCUGAGCAGCCAAAUGGCGCUCCGUGUCCCUUUUAACCCCGAGAAGCCUCACCAGAGCUCACGCCACCGUUCCUUUUGGUUUGAGGGAGGGCGCGCGCCGGUACACACAGAACGUGUGGCUGCCUUCCCGCCACCAAGCGUUCUUUGUCUGCGACGUAUUGGUAGGAGGGCCACGGACCUGGCGCAUACGUGCCUGACUCUUGCCAUCACCAUGUUAAAGUUGUUCUGUAGAAUACUCAGCCGAUUGAUCUCCUUGGCAAAAAUCGACUGGUGCAUCUCCUCAAAAGCCUCUAGCGCCGCCAUUCUCCUUACACAUUUUUGGAGGUCGCCGUAGUUCACAUCAUCAACAUACACAUCCUUUGCGUUGCGUAAGUAACAUAUCGCGUCCUCCGCCGCACUGUCGACAACGCUGAAUUUUUCCGGCAGCAUGUCGCCGAAGAAAGAUCUUGCAAGCAGAGAAUAGGGCGGCACAUUCAUUUCUAUACACCCUCUGUACCACCCGCCUGGCUCCUCUACGGUGGACAUCGACGAAACAGACAGACGCAAUGAACUACAAACGUGAUGUAAGAUCAUCUGCUUGGGGAGAUAAACCGUUUGCUUCGCCUGAAAAACAGAACCCACGGAAACAUCACAUAUACAUCACAACAUGUAAUGCACGGUGAGGUCAAGGGAGAGAGAUACACACGCCAGACAUGAGGCCAUCCGAAUUCUCCUCGGGAUCCACCCUUCGAUGCCUCGGAAAACCACCCUGGGCAGUAGCGCCCCGCGAGACGGGCCUCCCACUGCCCAUUACCGAGGCCGCGUGAAGGCAUUUAACACACGACUACACAACCGCGUCGAUCCACGCAACCGCAGCACGCCAAUCAUAUGCGUGGAAUCACGCAAUAACACAGGCCUCCUCAUAUGCCACCACUUAUAUCCGUACCGCGGACGGCUCCCUAGCUUGCAAGAUCCCCUACAAACGCUAACGCACCUGCCCGGAAAACACCAACCACCCCCACCGCUCGGCGAACUCCGGCAGCCAUCAACAUAACUCGCAAGCUCGUGAUCACAUCGGCACCGCUCAACGACGCCCAACGCGCGGAGUUACGAAGCCAAGCAGAAGAAGCACUCGCGCCGCCGCAACAGCUCUGCACCAACGCAUCCGACGCGCCUUCCACGGCGACCGGCACCCAGGUCCGCCACCACAUAAGCGACAACGCGUCACGACGAACGACGGUGGAGGUACCUCAGCGGACGCCUCCAAACCAGCGUCGGGCGAAGAAGUGAUGGAAGUCACGCAAGCACACAACGCGCAGCCCCCGGAGCAAGACCGUGCUCUCCAGCGAGUUCUCAGGCUGUCAGCUGACAUGCUCGAUUGAAAGAUCCGCAUGGUCGACUAGAGUGGGCAGGAUGAAUAGUUGACUAACAAAUUUUAUUUUUUAUUUUUCUUUCUUGAAAGAUAAAAACACUUAAAUUCUCUAAAGUGAAUGCAACCUUAAUAUCAAGUGCAAUAGCCAAAGCAACAAUAUCACAAUUAAAACUGCAAGAUUGUAAAGGCCCUAGGCCCCUAGCAGCGGAGGUGGCACCCAUGCAUGCCACCAGCUCACCAGGAAGAGUUGCGUGCCUCCCCGUUGGACACUUGUAGCCCAUGUACCGUGGCACGUGUGGCAUCCCCUUGUGUAUAAAAGGAGGACCCAUGCCAACGGUCAAAGGUUUUUUUUUAGAGGGCUGACGGGUCAGACAGUUGGAGAGGUUAGUCAGUUGGUCAGUUAGUUGGUUCGGACGAAACUCGCUCGAUAGAUGCUUACUAGCUCCAGUAGGCAGCUAACAGAGAGUGGUGAGGAGCGCCUAGCCACUGAGAGAAAGCCCGAGAACUUGCCCGGCAACCUGUAAACAUUUGAUCCGUAAUCAAUAUCAGCUCAGACAGGCAGGACGUAGGGUUUUACACCUCCGAGUGGCCCGAACCUGGGUAAAAAACGUGCGUGCGUCUGUUCUUGGACCAGCGCGUACCCCUAGCACACGGGGCCUCAUCGGCCGUGCCGGCGAUCAUCUGGUCUCCACCCCAGACGCUCUACCGAACCUAAAAGGGGACGUGGCCGCACGCCCCUGGUGUCGGAGCACCAAGCGACGACAUCUGGCGCGCCAGGUAGGGGGCGCGGGAGUGGACAGCGCCGAAGAUCGCCGGCAGCGAAAGUUCCCAUCGGCAUCGGCCUCACUCUUCUUCGUCGACGAGCCUUGUCACCAUGCCCCCCAAGCGGGCUGGUGAUUCACGCAUAGACCCGCGUGAGGCCCCAAUGGCGCAUACGCGGUCGCACGACGUGCGACCCGAGUCGGGAGCUCAAGAGAAUCCUGAGCCCUCGAGGGUGCAGCAAACGCAGCUGCCUCCACCGCCUCCCUGACCGUCGACCGACAAUCGGCCGAGGGGACAGGCUGCCCCCGCGCCGGGGGCAGUCGGGCGAGCAUGCAUGGCGUCGCCCGGGCCAGCCAACGGGUGGAGUCGUGACCCGAGGAUGCCCCGCGGCAGCGGCACCCGGAGCACGCCGCGUCACGGGCGACCCCUGGAGGUUCGCACCCUGCGCACCCCGAGGCGUCCGUGGCCAGGGCGGGAAGCAGCCGUUCAGGAAAUCGGUUGCCCCCUUUGCGAACCCCGGCUGAAGCCAUCGUCGCCGCGCGCGGCAUGGUGCGGUACGAGCCGCAGCAGGGCACGCCGGCGCACGAGACGUGGGGCGAGGAGUUGGAAGCGCUUCUCGCCCUGGCCGCCCAACAGCCGUAAGGCGAGGGCGCCCCGGUAGGCUCUGGCCACAGGCCGAACUCAGAGCGCGAAGGCGCGCCGCCCGCCUCGCGACAGGGGGAGAACCCUCCCCCUCCUCAGCGGGGCCUGAUAGACGGGGGCCCGGAGGGGUCCUCAAAUUCGUCGCCCACCGUCCCAGGGGGCGAUGCGCGUGGCAUCUUGAAUGCCCGACAACAGGAGGAUCUGCGCCGGCGCCUGGAGCGCCGGCGCAGGCGCGAGGUGGAGCGCCGAGGACAAGAAGACGCUCCCCUGGGCCCAGAAGACGGUUGCACCGCGUUUGCGCGCGAGUUGCGGCGGGUGGUGUGGCCCCAUAAGUUCCAAGCGCCUGCGCUCGGUAUGUACGAUGGGACCGCUAACCCAAAGAUUUUCUCCUGACCUAUACGCUGGGCAUGCAUGCCAUCGGCGCCGACGACAAGGUCAGGGCGAACUGGUUCCCGAUGGUUCUGAAGGGAUCAGCGCGAACCUGGUUGCUUAACCUGCCCACCGGAUCUGUCGCCACCUGGGCAGACCUGCGCGAGCAGUUCGUGAGCGUGUUCCAGGGCGGCUAUAAGCGCCCGAGAACCAUGGCGGAGCUGCACACCAUCGUGCAAAAACCGGGAGAGACGUUGCGGGCCUUCGUCAACCGCUUCUCCAAUCUCUCCUAUUCUAUCCCGGAGGCGGAGGUGGCCAUCAUCAUCAACACCUUCGCCAUCAACGUCCGCGAUCCCAAGAGGCGUGAGAAGCUGAGCACGCAUCGGAUCCGGACGACGCAGGACUUGUACGCCUUGGCACACUAGUGCGCCAUGGCCGAGGAGGGGCGCCUAGCGCCCGAGCUGGCAGCCCAGGCUGCCGCGAGCCCUGGCGAGGGCUCGCAGAAGAAGGGUUCCCGUAAGCGCAGCGGGAAGCAAGUCCUCGCUGCGGACUCGGGGGUCCUGCUGCGAGGCCCACGAAGAAGGCCUCGCCGGGGGGAGAGUCUGGCGGAAGCAGGGCGAUGUGGCCCGCUACCCUAUCCACAACAACUCCACCCACAAUGCAAGCAACGGAGGGAGCAGCGCCACGAGGAGCGCCGCGCCGCCGGCGCUUGCUUCAAUUGUGGCGACAUCGGACAUCUCUCCCGAGAUUGCCCGAACGACCCCAGAGCGGGUCCGAGGCCAGCCGGCGGUGGUGCUGGCAGGGUUGAACCCCAAGGAGGCGCAGCCAGCCCCUCGCUGUGCGGGAACGCCCUCCUCAGGGGUGUGACAGGGCGCGCGCCGAGGAGCGGCGCGAGUCCGACUAUUCCGGCGGCGACGAGCCAGGCUUCCAGGAGCCUCGUGGCGUCGCCUGCAUCCAUGGGGGAGUUUACGCUCUCCCAUCCCACGCCGCGGUGAAGCGCCUCACCCGUGACGUGUGCACGCUGUUGCCGGAUGCGGGGCCGCAACAGCCGCUGAGGUGGUCGCACGUGCCGAUCACCUUCAACGCCGACGACCACCCGGUGCGACAAUUGGGUUCCGAGGUAAUAUCCUUCGUUGUCUCGCCGAUCAUUAGCAAUAUGACGGUGACAAAGGUGCUGGUGGACAACGGAGUGGGGCUUAACCCCCUGUCUGCCAGGCUGGUGGAAAAGCUCCAGCUGCCGAUGGAGCAGCUGAAGCCCACCGAACCGUUCCGGGGGGUGAACCCCGGGAUCAUGCACCCGCUGGGACGCAUCAUGCUGCCGGUCACCUUCGGGUCCCGAGAAGCAUUCAGGACCGAGCACAUAGUGUUCGACGUGGCGCAUACCCCGUUGCCCUACAACGGGAUCCUUGGUCAGCCGGCGCUGAUCAAGUUUAUGGCGGCUACGCAUCGCGCCUACGGCGUGAUGAAGAUGCCGUCCGUCUACGGAGUCCUCUCCAUCGGGUGCGAUCUCAAAGACGCUGCUUGGUGCGUUGACGAGGUCGUCCGGGCCGCUGCUGCAGCUGACGCCGACGACGAAGGUGUUCUCGAGGACGACGCCUUGCCGGGUGAUGCCCCGGCAACGAAGAAGGCCCGCGCCACCCCGCAAGGCGCAGGCUCGGGUUCGCGUCCCGGCAAGGGGCGAGGGCUCCGGGAGGAGGCCGCCAAAGUGAAGAAGCUGCCCCUCCAAGCCAGCGACAAGGAGCGCACCGUUACCGUCGGUGCGAACCUGACCGCCGAAUAGGAAAGCGCCCUCGUCACCUUCCUCCGGGAAAAUGCCGACGUGUUCGCCUGGGAACCGUCGGACCUUCCCGGAGUCCCCAGGGAGGUGAUUGAGCAUCGGCUCGCGGUGCGCCCGGACGCGCACCCCGUCAAGCAGAAGAUCCGGCGGCAGGCACAAGAGCGGAAAGAUUUCAUCAAGCAAGAGGUGGGCAAGCUCAGGGCUGCCGGGGCGAUCAGGGAAGUUUUGUACCCCACUUGGCUGGCUAACCCUGUAGUAGUGCCCAAAGCAGGGAAUAAGCUUCGCAUGUGCAUAGAUUUUACCGAUCUUAAUCGUGCAUGCCCCAAGGAUCUCUUCCCUGUACCCCGGAUCGACCAGAUAGUUGAUUCUACCGCUGGUUGUGACCUGCUGAGUUUUCUGGAUGCUUUCUCCGGCUACCAUCAAAUCAAGAUGGCGGUCGAGGAUGAGGAAAAGACAGCGUUUAUCAUCCCGGUUGGCUGCUACUGCUAUACAUGCAUGCCUUUCGGGUUGAAGAACGGGGGCUUCACAUUCCAGCGCGCCCUGCGAGAAUGUUUGGAGCCCCAGCUAGGCCGCAACGCGGAGGCCUACAUGGAUGACAUCGUCAUCAAAUCGAAGCGUAGGGACUCGCUGAUUGAUGACCUGUGGGAGACAUUUGACAACCUCCGCAAGAUCAAGCUCAGGCUGAACCCUGAUAAGUGCACCUUCGGUGUCAACUCCGGGCAGCUUCUAGGUUUCUUGGUUUCACACCGGGGGAUACAGGCCAAGCCGACCAAAAUAGAAGCCAUCGAGAAGAUGGAGCCCCCCCGCAAGGUGAAAGAUGUCCAGCGACUCAACGGUUGCGUUGCCGCGCUUGGACGCUUCAUCUCCAGGUUGGGCGAGCGUGCCCUGCCUUUCUUCCGGGUAAUGAAGAAGAAGGGUCCAGUCGACUGGACUGCCGAGGCCGAGGCGGCGCUCCAGGAACUCAAGCGAUACUUGAGGUCACCGCCCAUCCUCGUCGCCCCCAAGUUGGGCGAGCCGUUGCUACUCUACUUAGCAGCGACUGACCAGGUGGUCAGCUCGGUGCUGGUUGCCGAGAGGGAGGAAGACGUCCCGGGGAUUGGGGCUGCGGGGUAGGGGGCUGAGCAGCCUCCGGCAACCACCUCAAACCCAGGGACCACCCUAGAGCCGGCAACCCCGGCGCCUCGGAAGCGGUUGGUGCAGCGACCGGUGUACUUCGUCAGUACGGUGUUGCGCGACGCGCGGACAAGAUACCCGCAAGUACAGAAGCUCCUUCUGGGGAUUCUCCUUGCGUCCCGCAAGUUGCGCAACUACUUCCAGGCACACUGCGUCACGGUGGUGUCCGGGUUCUGCCUCGAGAGGACCCUCACCAACCGUGAAGCCACCGGGAGGGUGGCCGAGUGGAGGAUGGAGCUGUCGGAGUUUGACCUUCACUUCGCCAACUCCAAAAGCAUCAAGAGCACGGCCCUGGCGGACUUCAUCGCGGAGUGGACGUCCACGGGCGUAGAAGAAAGUGAGUCGGAGACCGGCCUUCCCGGCAAGCUGGACGAGGACCACUGGGUCCUCUACUUCGACGGUGCGUUCAGUCUCCAGGGAGCGGGGGCUGGGGUCGUCAUCGAAUCACCCACAGGGGACCAGCUGCGGUUCGCCGUCCAACUCGACUUCGCUAACUCCACCAACAACACGGCGGAGUACGAAGGCCUGCUUGCCGGGUUGCGGGCAACGAUCGCCCUCGACAUUAAGCGCCUGGUUGUUCGCGGUGAUUCCCAGCUUGUGAUCAACUAGGUGAACAAGGACUACGAUUGCCCUCAAAUGGCGCUGUACGUAGAAGAGGUCCGCAAGCUAGAACGGAAGUUCAAGGGUUUGCGCUUCGAACACGUCAAGCGAAAGGACAACUUCGCUGCUGAUGAGCUGGCCAAGAUGGCAGCAGAGCGCCGGAAGCCUCCGGCAGGGGUGUUCUGUCAGAAGCAACUAGCUCCUUCAGUCACCCCCCUGCCGGCUGCCGGGGACGCCCCUCCGGCAACCGAGGGAACCCCUGCAGCAGCAGGGGUCCAUGCCGCUGAUAUGGCGGCAUGCGUUAGCAGAGAAAUUCCUCCCUGGGCGGAAGAGAUCGCCCGCUAUUUGAAAGGAGAGGCUCUCCCGGAGGAUGACGUCGCCGCAGAGCGCGUAGCGCGGCAAGCCAAGAUGUACACUGUGAUAGACGACAGCGUCUACCGCAAGCGUGCGAAUGGUGUCAAACUCGUCUGCGUGUCGCAGGAAGAAGGGUGUGCGCUGUUGGAAGACAUACAUCGAGGCACAUGUUCACAUCAUGUGGCCUCCCGGGCUUCGGCGGCAAAGUUUUCCGGCAUGGCUUCUACUGGCCCACGGCCCUGGCCGACGCAGAGCGGCUGGUGAGGACGUGCGAAGCGUGCCAAUUCCACUCAAAGAAGAGCAACCAACCAGCCCCAGGCCCUGCAUGUCAUCCCGUCCUCAUGGCCGUUCGCGGUCUGGGGACUGGACAUCGUCGGCAAGCUACCAAGGGCGGUUGGUGGUUACGAAUACUUGUUUGUGGCCGUCGACAAGUUCUCCAAAUGGGUGGAGGUGGAACCAGUGCGCAAGGUGACCGCCCAGGCGGCCAUCAAGUUCUUUAAGGGCAUUGUGUGCCGGUUUGGUGUUCCUAGCGGCAUCAUCACCGACAACGGCACGCAAUUCACGAGCGCGGCGUUUCACGCCUACUGCGAAGACAUGGGCACUAAGCUGCGUUUCGCGUCCGUCGCUCACCCGAGGAGCAACGGGGAGGCGGAGCGAGCCAACGCAGAGGUUCUGCGGGGGCUCAAGACAAGAACCUUUGACAAGCUCAAAGGCCACGGGAAGCAUUGGGUCGAAGAACUCCAGCCCGUGCUGUGGUCCAUCCGGACCACACCUAGUCGGGCAACAGGCGAAACUCCUUUCGCCCUUGUCUAUGGGGCUGAAGCGGUGCUGCCCCUCGAGCUCAAAUACGGAUCUCCCCGAGUACGCGCGUACGGCGACACCAGCCAACACGAGCAAAGGGUCGACGAUCUAAAGUUCAUCGAAGAGCUUCGAUGCCGGGCUGCUGUGCGAGCCGCGUGCUACUAGCAGGGACUCCGUCGUUAUCACGACAGACGAGUCCGUCCCCAGGGGCUCGAGAACGGAGACCUUGUCCUGCGCCGGAUGCAAGGAACGAAGGGCGGGAACAAGUUGACUCCGAAAUGGGAGGGCCCCUUCCGGGUAGUGCAGGUGACCAGGCCGGGGGCUGUCCACCUGGAAACCGAAGACGGCUUGCCGGUGCACAAUAGCUGGAAUAUUGAACACUUGCGCAAGUUCUACCCGUGAAGUGGUGGAGCCCGAACCUCAGGUGAUGCCUCCGAUGCAUACCUCUCGAACUAGUGUAACCGGGCAGCCCCCGUGUGUAAACCGCUAGUUAAUUGUGAAUAAAGAUAAGUGUUUCCCCCCUAAGCUUUGUUUUUGCUUUGUUCAUUCGCGUGUUUUCCCCCUCUUGCCUCUUGCUUUAAGUGCACAAAGGUGUCUUUCCCUACUUGGUUGUGAGCAAGGAGCUGCCGUGGCCCUGAAACGAAAACCCGUUGCCGGAUCCUUCCGGCACUAGACAUGCCGUUGGCGGGCUUCCCGCAACGUGCAUCACUGGACAUGCCGUUGGUGGGCUCCCGCAGCCUGCACCGCGGAGUUGCUCCGCCUGGGGAAGGAAAUGCUCACAUCCAAGUUUGGCAUUGACCCUUUUGUGCCGGGGGCUGGGAAGCAGGAGAGAUUUAUCUGAUUUACCUGUGAUUUAUCUGAUUUACUUGUGUUACUUGUUUUCGUAAGUUUCGAAAAAAAUUUAGCACCUCGGAUCUGGUAAGAGUCUAACCUGCAGGAAAGGGAGGAAUCUUGUACACUGUGGUGCCCGUGAGCUGGCCACGGGUCGCACCAUACACCGGUGCCUUGUGGCGAGGGAGGACCGCAACACAAGGGGUUCACCGCACGCCGAGGCUUCUGAGUUGACGGCUGGCCGCCACGUGUGCCGCGGUUACCCGGUAAGCAUGGCGGCGGAAACUGCGCCGCGUUCGAGGAAAAGGCGCCACGGUGCCGUGCGGAUCCGUCGCGCGCGGUGGCAAGCCUCCCUCCCGCGUCUAUAAAAGGCGCGCCCCAACCAUGGAAUUGCUCAGAGCGAAGCCGGGUUCGGGGCCGUGAAAGCAGGUGGUGCGACGGAGGCGCGGAGGCGGUGCUUCCCGCCGGCGCCUAGCGCCGGCGGGUGCACCGCCAUCGCGCCCCUGCCGCAUCACCCCAUCGAGCCCACCCCGAGGGGCGCCGCAGAGGCGCGGUGGUAGUGCGUGCCAUCGGCGUCCCGCGCCGACAGGUGCACUGCCGUUGUGCCCCAGCUGCGCUUCCUCAAAGGGGCGGUUCCGGGGCGAGGGUCGUCGCAGAGGCACUGUGGUGGUGCAUCCCGUCAGCGUCCGGCGCCGACGGGGUGCAUUGCCACAGUGCCCUUGUCGCCCCCCUCCGUAGGACACCUCCGCAAGGAGCAGGGUCGGCCGCGGAGACUUUAUGGUAGUGCGUGCCAUCCGUGCCUUGUGCCAGCGGGUGCACUAUCACAGAGACGCGGCCGCAUUCCCUUUGAGAGAGCCUUUUUCGGGCGCGGGUCGUUGCGAGGACGCUAUGAUGGUGCCGGUGCCGGCGCUCGUCGCUCGUUCCGGCCCAUCACCGCGUCGUUGCCGCGGCCCUCGAGCAGUUUAGCUCCCGGGUAACAAGGGUCGUCGCAUCCCUUGGGACGAGUCCCCUAGAGAAAACCAAGGUCUCCCCAGUUGCGGGGGCUGUCGCUGGAAGGCUAUAACUUCCUCGUCACCCGUACCCGCCAUUCGAGGUGUGGCAAAGCCAGCGCCGAGGACGUUAUAGCCGUCUCGCGGCUGCUCCCGAAGCGGAGUCCUCCUAAGCCAGGGUUCGUCCCUGAAGGCCAGGGUCCGCCCCUGAGGGCGAGGAUUGCCGCAUGAGCGUGGUGGUAGCAUCGUCGUCGGCGGUUGCCGCCGGCGGCGAUCCUGCCCCCGCGUUCCGGUCGCAUCCUUCCGAGAUUGUUUCCCCUGAACAGGUACCCCGGAUGGUUUCCUGCCGAGGUAGCACCCCGUCUGCACUCUACCGCAGAGCAUCGCGGAACAUUGGACCAAACGGAAAAGCUAAGUAUCUGAACAUGAACGCUGAAUUCGCUAAGAGCUGAACGAAACUGAGCACUGCCCGCUGGGUGCGGCCCCGGAUCCCGCGCGUAGCCGGAGUGUUAGAAGGGAGUGCGCUCCCCGUGUGGCUCCCGGGUCCGCCCCGGGAGGACACGGCUUGGAGUGGUUACCCCGCAAGUGGAGUGAAUCCCCGCUACCGCUUGGCCCCAGGUCGGCACUGCGGGUCCGUCCCGGGUCCCUGGUCUGGUCAAGGGUGAGGCGUGCGCGAGUCCCCCCGCAACACAAGGCAAGACACGCACAGGCUAAGGGAACCACCCCGCGAGGCGGCCUCGGGAAUAAAAGACAAAAAUCGAGCAAACUAACAAGCUUGAUUGACUAGGUGUCGAGUGGUUACAUGGACUAAUCAAAAGGUCAUUCUCCAAACGGCGCUAAGCGGCAUACUUGCAGGAAAAGUAAACGAGAAGGAGGUACAGGGGAAGCAACGAGUAUAGCUGGGGGCUGCGGCAGCUAGCUGUCGCCGUCUUCGACCGGGGGGUCGACGGGGGGUUCAGGCUCCGGCUUCAUCUGCAUUCGCUCGACGACCUCGUCGAUGAACUCGCGCACUGCUUGGGUGUGCGUGGGCUCGUCCUUGCUGUCGGACCAAGCGUCCAGUAGGGACUCGAAGGGAAAUUCCGGGUCCCGGAGGUGAAUCCGCGGGAGGAUUGUCCCGGCAACCUCCCGGGCGCAGUUGGCGACUUCGUUGGCGCCGUACUGGGCGAUCCAGACGUCGAGCGCCGCGAGCUUCCCCAACAAGUCGGAGAAGAAGGGGAUCAGCGUCGUGACAUCCGUGCCGUUCACCUCCGCCGCCUGCAGCUCAAACUUGGGCAGCAGGUCGCGCAGCGACUCGGCGAUCUUCGCCAACUUCUGCGUCUCGAGCUGCCGCUGCCCGAUCAGCGUGCUGUGAUGGAGUCGGGCGUCUUGCGCGGCCUUUUUGGCCUUGCUGACGCGGCCCUCCAGCUUUGCAAGCUCUAAAGCCUGGGUCGCGUUGGCCUCGCCGGCCUUGGCGAGCUCUUCCCGGAUGGCGGCCAACUCGUCCUCAAGCUCGGCCGCUUUGCCUUUGACCGAGUUGAGCUCGGCCUCGUGCUGAGUCACCGCUCUCGCCGCGCCCUCGGCGGCCUUGACCUGCACCUCCAGCAGGACGCGGAGGCCUUCGAUUUUGCCGCGGUAGUUGGCGAUCAGCUCGCUCUUCUCGUCCAGCCGCGCCUGGGCCGUCACGAGCACCUCGGCAUGCUCCUUCCAGGAAGCUUCCAGGGUUGCCGCCAUUGCGUCGAGCCUGCCUUGGAGCUCCGUGCGCUGGACCUCCAGUUGCCGACGGAGCUCGGUCUCCGGGACUACCGGCUCCUGAGCAGCCUCCAGGGCUUGCCGGGCCAGCCGCGCCUCCUCUUCGGCGAGGCGCGCCUCCUCGCGUAGCCGGGAGAGUUUGCGCCGCUCUCUCUCGACGGCCUACCGCACCUCGCCGAGUUGAUUCUUGGCGGCGGUGUGGCGCUCCCUCACCUCGUUGUAGGAGGUGACGAAGGCGAACUGCUGGUACCGGACGGCGUCCAGGAACCGGUGCCCCCGCUCGAAGACGCUCGGAUCCCAGGUAAGAGGAUUCCAAGCGACCCCGGCGAGGGUGCCGAGGUCGGUGCCGGGGAGGGCCUCCGAGGAUGAUGAAGCCCCAGCUGCCGAAGUGGAGCUGGGUCGCGGGGUCGCCCACUUGCUCCCACGGGUCUUGCCGUCCUUCCCCGACAACUUCCCCCGCGCCCAGGCUCCGGGACAUCAGGGUUGGAGAGGGCUCCCUGCUUCCGCAGGGGGUCGUCCCCUGCUGGAUGGCGGGUGAGCCCGAGCCGGCCACAUCCGCGGAUUCGGGCGCGUCACCGGGUGCCGCGGCGGCGGCGGUCCCCACUGCUGCCGCUGUAUCCGUCGCGGCGGGGGCGGACACGGGAGCCGUUUCCGACUCCACCUCCGCCCCCGCGGUCCCAACGACCGAGUAGGGGUCGACCGCGGCCGCGACUGUUUCGGGCGCGGGCGCGCUUGUGCCUUGAACCGUGGAAAAGAAUAAGGUUCGGCGAUGGUUGGUGCUAUCGAAGGCGAAUAAGGGCGACCGGGGCGGUUACCUUGUGCGGCCGUCGGGCUUGCCGGUGCAGCCUCCCCUACCUCGCCUGCGCCAUCGGAAGCGUCCAAGGGUCUUGCCGCGGGCGAGUUGCCACUCGCUGCAGAAAGAGAAGGUAUGGUUGUGAAUUUGGCUAGCAGGAAUUGCAGUUGCAGAGAAUCAACGAAGACAUACCUGGUGCCGGCUCUGUCUCCGCUUGGGCUGGGUCGCCAAGGGACGCGCCAGCGCCGACGCUGGCCCCCGAGGCAGCGGGAUCGAUGGCACCGCCAGCGUCAGCGCGCGUCCUCUUGCUUGCCGAGCCGGGCGGGGAAUCGCUGCUCGCCCUCUUGCUAGCGCUCGCCGGCGAGGAGGACUUCGAAGGGUUGCGCCGGAGCGCGAAGCCCUGGAAGACACCCCGAGCGGGCGGCGCCGUGGGCGCCCGCGGGGUCAUCGUGACCCGGAGAGCUUCGGGUGUCGAUGGCGAUGCCGCCGUGACGCCGGGCAGCAAGCUCUCGGAGGCCCCCGCUACCGGAGCGAAGGCCGUCGCCGGCGCACCGGAGAACCCCGUAGGUGCUGGAGUUGCCGGGGUACCGGCGGGCACCCAGGGACCAAUUCCUGCCGUGGAGCUGGCGGCGGCCCAUGCCUUGGCGGCGGCCGCGCCGAGGCACUCGCGGCCCCUGUUGCCGCGGAUGCCGUCGUGGUACCUACGGGCGCCCGAGUAGCGGCGGCCGCCGCCAGGUUGGGGGCCGUUGCCGGGGCAGACAUCGUUGUUGAGGAAGUGGCUGCGGCCGCCGUGAACGCCCUCGACCUUCUCAGGAUCAGGGGCGCGCUAUCGCUGCUUUCCUCGUCGUCGUCCUCCACGGCGACGACUUCCGGGGACGCAGCCACCUGGCCCGCCUCGUCGUCCAGCGACCGGAGGGAGGGCCAGCUGGGCUCGGACCCGCCCUCGCUCUCCUCGAGCACCUGCUUCCUGCGGGGUGCUUGCGGGGGAGCGUGCGGGAUCCGGGUGGGGGUGUCGUCCAUCAGCCCCCACUCGUUGCAGGGCGGGAAGGCGCCGACGAUGUCGCUGAGCGCCUUGACGCCGGCAUGGAGAGCGGAGACCCCCGGCGGGAACUGUAUCGACUGGAAGACCUCGCCGGAGAUCCCUUCACCCACGUCUUGAGGGACUCCAAGUCCAUGCCGUCCGCCUGGAGGCGUGUCCUGUCCCCGAAGCCCGUGUACAUCCACGCGGGCCGGGAACGCAGCUGCAGCGGGGCUAUGCGCCGAUGGACGAAGGUGCGCGCCACGACGACAUCUGUGAGCCCCGCUAGCCGCAACGCCUUGAUCUUUUCCACGAUGGGGAGGAGGUCGGCGUCGCGGUGGUACCUGUCCUGCCAGCCGAUCUGGGGUACCGGCAGCCCCGUCGGCGGUUGGAUGAACUCCUGGGGGUCCUCCACUCGGACCCAGCACCAGUCGCUCCGCCACUCUUUUUCGAUCUUCUUCCCCGACCGAACGAUGAACUCCGACUUCAUCUGGUCGCGGGCGCGGAAAACCACCCCCGACGACAUCGCCUCCGCGUUGUCGAUGCGCGGGUAAAAGUAAUGGCGGAAGAGCCCCACCGAUGGCAUCACCCCCACGAACGCCUCGCAGAGGAACUGGAAGGUGGCGUAGUGUUUUACACCUUCGGGUGGCCCGAACCUGGGUAAAAAACGUGCGUGCGUCUGUUCUUGGACCAGCGCGUACCCCUAGCACUUUGCCUCGCCGGCCCCGUGGGGCCUCAUCGGCCGUGCCGGCGAUCAUCUGGUCUCCACCCCAGACGCCCCUACCGAACCUAAAAGGGGGACGUGGCCGCACGCCCCCGGUGUCGGAGCACCAAGCGACGACAUCUGGCGUGCCAGGUAGGGGGCGCGGGAGUGGACAGCGUCGGAGAUCGCCGGCAACGGAAGUUCCCAUCGGCAUCGGCCUCACUCUUCUUCGUCGACGAGCCUUGUCACCAUAUCCCCUAAGCGGGCUGGUGAUUCACGCAUAGACCCGCGUGAGGCCCCAGCGGCGCACACGCGGUUGCACGACGUGCGACCCGAGCGGGAGCUCAAGAGAAUCCCGAGCCCUCGAGGGAGCAGCAAACGCAGCUGCCUCCACCGCCUCCCCGACCGUCGACGGACAAUCGGCCGAGGGGACCGGCUGCCCCCGCGCCGGGGGCAGUCGGGCGAUCACGCAUGGUGUCGCCCGGGCCAGCCAACGGGUGGAGUCGCGACCCGUGGAUGCCCGCGGCAGCUGCACCCGGAGCACGCCGCGUCACGGGCGACCCCUGGAGGUUCGCACCCUGCGCACCCGGAGGCGUCCGGGGCCAGGGCGGGAAGCAGCCGUUCAGGAAAUCGGUUGCCCCCUGUGCGAACCCCGGCUGAAGCCAUCAUCGCCGCGCGCGUCAUGGUGCGAUACGAGCCGCAGCAGGGCACGCCGGCGCACGAGACGUGGGGCGAGGAGUUGGAAGCGCUUCUCGCCCUGGCCGCCCAACAGCCGCAAGGCGGGGGCGCCCUGGUAGCUCCGGCCACGGGCCGAACUCAGAGCGCGAAGGCGCGCCGCCCGCCUCGCGACAGGGGGAGAAGCCUCCCCCUCCUCAGCGGGGCCUGGUAGACGGGUGCCCGGAGGGGUCCUCGAAUUCGUCGCCCACCGUCCCGGGGGGCGAUGCAUGUGGCAUCUUGAAUGCCCGACAACAGGAGGAUCUGCGCCGGCGCUUGGAGUGCCGGCGCAGGCGCGAGGUGGAGCGCCGGCACCCACUGGGACAAGAAGACGCUCCCCUGGGCCCAGAAGACGGCGGCACCGCGUUCGCGCGCGAGUUGCGGCGGGUGGUGUGGCCCCGUAAGUUCCGAGCGCCUGCGCUCGGUACGUACGACGUGACCGCUAACCCCAAAGAUUUUCUCCUGACCUAUACGCUGGGCAUGCAUGCCAUCGACGCCGACGACAAGGUCAGGGCGAAUUGGUUCCCGAUGGUCCUGAAGGGAUCAGCGCGAACCUGGUUGCUUAACCUACCCGCUGGAUCCGUCGCCACCUGGGCAGACCUGCACGAGCAGUUCGUGAGCGCGUUCCAGGGCGGUUAUAAGCGCCCGGGAACCAUGGCGGAGCUGCACACCAUCGUGCAUUAACCUGAAGAGUUCGCGCCGUUCUUUCUCCACGGCCUCCCGCACCUCGCCGAGUUGAUUCUGGGCGGCGGUGUGGUGCCCCCUCACCUCGUUGAAGGAGGUGACGAAGGCCAAUUGCUGGUCCCGGACGGCGUCUAGGAACCGGUGCCCUCGCUCAAAGACGCUCGGAUCCCAGGUAAGGGGGUUCCAAGCGACCCCGGCGAGGGUGCCGAGGUCGGUACCCGGGCGAGCCCCCGAGAAUGAUGAAGCUCCUGCUGUCGAAGUGGGGCUAGGCGCGGGGUCGCGGACUUGCUCUCGGGGGUCUUGCCGUUCUUCCCCGGCAACUUCCCCCGCGCCCGCGCUAUGGGACCCCGGGGCUGGAGAAGGCUCCCUGCCUCCGGCGGGGGUUGCCUCCUUUUGGACGACAGGUGAGCCCGUGCCGACCACGUCCGCAGCUUCGGGCACGUCGCAAGGUGCCGUCACGGCAGCGGCGGUGUCCUCUGCUGCCGCUGUGUCCGUCACAGCGGGGCCGGACGUGAGAGCCGGUUCCGCCUCCACCUCCGCCCCCGCGGCCUCGACGACCGAGUCGGGGUUGACCACGGCCACGCUCGUUCCUGGCAUGGGUGCACUUGUGCCUGCAACAAUGAGAAGCAUGAGAACCGGCGAAGGAUGGCGCCUUCAAAGGCGGACAAGAGCGACCAGGGCGGUUACCUUGUGUGGCCGUCGGGCUUGCCGGGGGACCCUCCCCUGCCUCGCCUGCGCCUGCGGGAGAGUCCAAGAGGCUUGCUGCGGGCGAGCUGCCGCUCACUGCAGAAAAAGAAGGUAUGUUCAUGAGUUUGGCUAACAAAAAUUGCAGUUGCAGAGAAUUAGCGAAGACAUACCCGGUGCCGGCCCUGCCUCCGAUGUGGCUGGGUCGCCAAGGGACGCGCCCGCGCCACUGCUGACCCCCGCGGCAGUGGCGUCGGCGCGCGUCCUCUUGCUUGGCAUGCUGGGCGGGGAAUCGCACCUCGCCCUCUUGCUGGCACCCGCCGGCGAGGACGACUUUGGGGGGUUGCGCCAGAGUGCGAAGCCCCGAAUGACCCCCCGAGCGGGCGGCACCGUGGGCGCCCGCGGAGUCGCCGCAACCCGGAGAACUCCGGGUGUCGUCGGCAAGACCGCCGUGGCGCCGGGAGCCAAACUCGCAGAGGCCCCCGCUACCGGGGCGAAGGCCCUUGCCGGGGCGCCGGUGACCCCCGCAGUCGCGGGUGCCGCCGGGGUGCCAGCGGGCACCCCGGGACCGGUUCCCGCAGCGGUGCUGGCGGCCGCCGCCGAGGCCCCCGCGGCCCCUGUCAAGGUACCGACGGGCGCCCCCGAAGCGGCGGCCGCCGCCAGGGUGGUUGCAGCCGUUGAGGAGAUUGCUGCAGCCGCUGCGAACGCCCUCGAUCUUCUCACGAUCAAGGGAGCGCUGUCGCUGCUUUUCUCGUUGUCGUCCUCCACGGCGAUGACUUCCGGGGACGCGCCCACCUGGCCCGCCUCGUCGUCCAGCGACCGAAGGGAGAGCCAGCUGGGCUCGGACCCGCCCUCGCUCUCCUCGACCACCUGCUUCCCGCGGGAUGCUUGCGGGGGAGCGUGCGGGACCCGGGUGGGGGUGUCGUCCAUCAGCCCCCACUCGUUGCAGGGCGGGAAGGCGCCGACGAUUUCGCUGAGCGCCUUGACGCCGGCUUCGAGAGCCGAAACCCCCGGCGGGAACUCCGUUGAUUAGAAGAGCUCGUCGGAGAUCCCCCUCACCCAUGUCCUGAGGGCCUCCAAGUCCAUGCCGUCCGCCUGGAGGCGUGUCCUGUCCUCGGAACCCGUGUACAUCCACGCGGGCCGGGAGCGUAGCUGCAGCGGGGCUAUGCGCCGAUGGACGAAGGUGCGCCACGUCGACAUCGGUGAGCCCCGCUAGCCGCAGCGCCUUGAUCUUCUCCACGAUGGGGAGGAGGUCGGCGUCGCGGUGGUACCUGUCCGGCGAGCCGUUCUGGGGUACCGGCAACUCCGUCGGUGACUAGAUGAACUCCUGGGGGUCCUCCACCAGGACCAAGCACCUGUCGCCCCGCCACUCUUUUUCAAUCUUUUUAGCCGACCGGACGAUGAACUCGGACUUCAUCUGGUCGCGGGCGCGGAAGACCACCCCUGACGACAUCGCCUUCGCGUUGUUGAUCCGCGGGUAGAAGUAGUGGCGGAAGAGCCCCACCGACGGCAUCACCCCCACGAACGCCUCGCAGAGGAACUGGAAGGUGGCGAGGAGGAACAACGAGGUGGGGUGGAGCUGCGCCACCCGCAACUGAUAAGACUCCAUCACUGCGUGGAGGAACAGAGAGAAGGGCGGCACCAUGCCGCAGAGGAGGAAGCGCGCGAACACCCAGAAAUCGUUGUCCUGGUGCUCGACGCCCGCCGGGAAUAUUUGCGUCUCCCCGUGCUCGUUAAAGCUGGAGGCGACGGCGAGCCGGAGCUUCCCCAGCGCCUCGCUGUUAUAGCCGGGGUGGAAGAAGGCGACUGUGACGCGCAUCUCCCGCCUGUUCUGGUCCUUGGCGGCGGCCGCUUUGAUUGCCGCCUCGGUCUUGCUUGCCGUGGGCUUCUUCGCGGUUUGGACCUCCUUCCCCUUCCUAGUGGUGGGGCCCGCCAUGGAAAGCGAGGGCGGAAGCUGGCAGGAGCACAGGGAUACGAGAUGUGGAAGAGGAUGGAGGCGAAAGGGCAAAGUGUUGUUUCCCUUUUGGCAACAGUAGAGGCUUUAUGACGCCCGGCCGUUUGGUAACGGCCGGUUCCGUACCCUACGGGUGCGCGGGGAUACCUAAUCACUGGGAGUAAUGCGCGGAGUGGCCUUAACUACCCUAUUUAGGGGGGGAGUUAGGGAGUACACGGGACAGCAAAGGGAGCGUCCACUGCUCUGCUUGUAACGGCGCCGUACACGGGGCAGUGAAGGGACGCGGGCCCGCGACUGAUCGGGGCCCACGCGUCGGUUAAGGGCGUAGCCCGGCAACCGACUAGGGGGAGACCCUUCCGGGAACAGGUGAUGCCGGCCCACGCCCGGGGGCUACUGUCGCACCAGUGGCACCCGGGGUACCACGGCUGCACGACGCGCGGGCCCCUCUCCCGAGUUCCUGGGAAGGUCUCAUCCCGGGGAGCGUCUAUGAGCUGCCCGGCAAGCUACCAGCCCGAAAGGAGCUAGCGCGGCUUCGGGGGAUAUUCCCGCUUGGGCACCUCCCGGGAAGCUGCUUCCCGGGAGGGGUUUCCCGGGUGCGUUUGGCCGGGUGUUUCCCGGGGUCGACUUGUUGGGACUGGGGGUUCCCGGGCGCGUGCCCCCGCCUCGGGUCGUGGGGCCCAGUGGAAAGCGCCGCGCGGGCGCGUGGCAGUUGCGGGACGCGCGGUCCCACCGAGGCAAGGAGUAAGGCGUACGGCUCAGUAAGCGAGCUGACCGACGGUUAGUUACCCGUCGGAUCCAAGGAACAGUGGUUGUCUAAUCCUACCCUAGGGUCUUAGGCCCCUAGCAGCGGAGGUGGCACCCAUGUUGGAGAUAUGCCCUAGAGGUAAUCAUGUGAUGAUGUUAUUUCCUAUGUAUUCAUGAGUUAUUGUUAUUAUCCUUGAACAUCAUCACUGAUAUGUAUCAAUAAAUACGUGAUUUGUUUGUGAGACUAUGUAUUCUAUGAUGUUGUUCUAAUAGUCCCUGGUCAUUGAGGUUAUGCGGACACAGAACCUAGACUAGUAAUUUGAAUCAGUAUGAUGACUAUGUUUCACAAGUCAUAGGGCAAGGUGUUGCCGACUGAUAGCAUGAACUCGACAAUGAGAUUGUUGAGUCGGACAGACCCGCACUGAGACACAACGAGAUGAUUGUCAUUUGUUAGUCUCAAGUACGAUGUAUAUGCCAGUCCUAGACCUGAGGUCAUCGCAUGAGCUUGGGAUGUGAAUUGGCCUACUUAGGAGUUGCCAAACGCUACUCCGUAACUGGGUGGUUAUAAAGGUAGCUUUCGGGUUUGCUGAGAAGCAUGCUGCGAGUCAUGGUUGAUCAAGAUGGGAUUUGCCCCUCCUGUUCAGAGAGAUAUCUCUGGGCCCUCUCGAGUGAUCAGAUUCGGAAAGCAUGGCCAUGCGACUUGGGUUAAGUGUUAACCCGUUCGGAAAUUUGUAUCACAGGAACGAGAAGAGAGUCGAGCUAUCCACAAGGAUGACAAGCACUCGCCUUGAGCUCAACACACAUAUCGUGAGGCAAAAGGAAUGUUGCAUAUGACACAUUGUAUGGUUCGUCAAUAUACCUUGUGGUUACUCGGGAGUUGGCACGUGCUGCUAGGUGCCGCUACCAACUAUCGACUUGAGUCGGUGCCAGUGGACAAGUAAGGUGUUGCUCGGGCCCGCAGUCCGAGCUCGUAGUCGUGUCCGACUGACCGCGAACCUGAAGGGUCACACGCUUAAGGGGUGGGAACCGAGUUGGAUCGGAUCCAACUCGUAUCGGGCUUAGACUCCUAAUGGCCUCAAGUGUUGAGCCCACUAGGGACGUCUAUAUAAGCGGAGGAGACCAACCCGUCUAGGGUUACACCAGUACAGACGCGAGUUAGACUCGGCUGUCACACCUCCACGCCCAAAGCCUUGCGAUCGGAUCUAGCAGUCCGUCGCACGGAGUUCCUCUCUGUACGUGUGGAUACCUCGGAGGCGCUGCACCUGCGGCGCUUGGACGAACUGUUCGUGGGAUCGGCGAGGAGGAGCAGGCUGUUCGACUACUCGGCAUCGACGCGCUACAUCGACUCUACUUCCGCUACGGGUCUGCGCGUCUAGUGGUAAUCUCGUGAUCCAUUAUCUACAGCAUUGGUCUGGGCGGAACCAGUAGAAAUUUAUUUUGUGCUAGCGUAGCAUACCACGUUCCCCAACAACCCAUGCACGCCACCAGCACGCUGCCCCGCAAGCAUCCCGCGGGAAGCAGGUGCUCGAGGAGAGCGAGGGCGGGUCCGAGCCCAGCUGGCCGUCCCUCCGGUCGCUGGACGACGAGGCAGGCCAGGUGGCUGCGUCCCCGGAAGUCGUCGCCGUGGAGGACGAUGACGAGGAAAGCAGCGACAGCGCGCCCUGGAUCGUGAGAAGAUCGAGGGCGUUCGGAGCGGCCGCAGCCAUCUCCUCAACGAUGACGUUCGCCCCGGCAGCGACCAACAACCUGGCGGCCGCCGCCGCUUCUGGGGCGCCCGUCGGUACCUCGACGUUAUCCGCGGCAACAGGGUAACUACUCCAAGCCGUGCCCCUCCAGGACGGACCCGCGAAGCCACACGGGGAGCGUACUCCCCCCGCAAGCAUCCCUUUUAACACUCCGGCUAUGCGCGGGAUCUGGGGCCGCACCCAGCGAGACAGUGCUCAGUUUCGUUCAGCUCUUAGCGAAUUCAGCGUUCAUGUUCAGACACUUAGCUUUUCCGUUCGGUCCAAUGCCUCGUGACGCUCGGUGGUAGAGUGGAGACGGGGCACUGCCUUGGUAGGAACCCACCAUUGGUACCUGUCCAAGGGAAACGAUCUCUGAGGGAUGCGGCAGGAGCGCGGGGGCAGGAUCGCCGCCCGCGGCAACCGCCGCCGACGAUGCUACCACCACGCUCACGCGGCAACCCUCGCCUUCAGGGAUGGGCCCUGGCUUUCAGGGAGGAACCCUGGCCUUCAGGGAGGAGCCCUGGCUUAGGAGGACUCCACCCCGGGAGCAGCCGCAAGACGGCUAUAACGUCCUCGCCGCCAGCUGCGCCCCACCCCGAACGGCGGGCACGGGUGGCGAGGAAGUUAUAGCCUCCCAACGACAGCCCCCGCAGCUGGGGAGACCUGGUUUUUUCUGGGGAACUCGUCCCAAGGGAUGUGACAGCCCUUGUUGCCCAGGGGCAAAACUGUCCGAAGGCCGCGGCAGGGACGCGAUGAUGGGCCGGAGCGGGUGACGAGCGCCGGCACCGGCGCCAUCACAGCGUCCCCGCAACGACCCGCGCUCGAAAAAGGCUGUCUCAAAGGGAAUGCGGCCGGGUCUCUAUGAUAGUGCACCCGUCGGAACGAGGCACGGAGGGCAUGCACUACCAUAGAGUCUCCGCGGCAGCCCCUGCUCCUUGCGGAGGCGUCCUAUGGAGGGUGGCGACAAGGGCAUUGCGGCAAUGCACCCCGUCAGCGCCGGACGCUGAUGGGAUGCACCACCACAGUGCCUCUGCGGCGACCCUCGCCCAGGAGCCACCCACUUGAGGGAGCGCGGCAGGGGCACAACGGCAGUGCACCCGUCAAAGCAGGACGCCGAUGGCAUGCACUACCAUCGUGCCUCUGUGGCGUCCCUUGGGGCGGGCUCGAUGGGGUGAUGCAGCAGGGGCGCGAUGGCGGCGCACCCGCCCGCGCUAGGCGCCGGCGGGAAGCACCAGCCCCGCGCCUCCGUGGCACCACCCGACUUACCAGCCCCGAACCUGGCUUCGCUCUCAGCCAUUCCAUGGUUGGGGCGCGCCUUUUAUAGGCGCGGGAGGGGGAUUUGCCACCGCGCGCGACGGACCCGCGCAGCACCCGUGGCGCCCUUCCUUCGAACGCGGCCCUGUCAACUCAAAAGCCUCGGAGUGCGGUGAGCCCCUUGUGUUGCGGUCCUCCCGCACCACAAGGAACCGGUAUAUGGUGCGACCCGUGGGCAGUUCACGGGCACCACAGUGUACAAGAUUCCACCCUUUCUUGCAGGUUAGACUCUUACCAGGCCUGAGGUGCUGCAAAUUUUUUCAAAACUUACGAAAAUAAGCAACACAGACAAAUCCCUCCUGCCUCCCAGCCCCCGGGCACAAAGGGGUCGAUGCCAAACUUGGAUGUGAGCAUUUCCUUUCCCAGGCACAGAGACUGUGCGGUGGUGGCUGCGGGGGGCCGGGCAACUGCACGCCCAGUGAGUGAUGCACGUUGCGGGAAGCCUGCCAACGGCACGUCCAGUGAUGCACGUUGCGGGGAGCCCGCUAACGGCACGUCCAGUGAUGCACGUUGCGGGGAGCCCGCCAACGGCAUGUUCCGUGAUGCACGUUAAUAGCAUGUCAAGUGAUGCACGUUGCAGGGAGCCCGCCAACGACAUGUCCCGUGCCGGAACGUUCCGGCAACGGGUUUACGUUUCGGGGCCACAACAGCCCCCUGCUAACAACCAAGUAUGGGAAGACACCUUUGUGCACUUAAAGAAGGAGACAGAAGAGGGAAAAACAUGCGAAUAAACAAGGCAAAUCUAAAGCUCGCAUAGCAGCCCGGCAUCGAAGCUCUUCGAUGAAGUUUAGAUCGUCGACCCUUUGCUCGUGUUGGCUGGUGUCGCCGUACGCGCGUACUCGGGGAGAUCCGUACUUGAGCUCGAGGGGCAGCACCGCUUCUGCCCCGUAGACAAGGGCGAAAAGAGUUUCGCCCGUUGCCCGACUAGGUGUGGUCCGGAUGGACCACAGCACGGGCUGGAGUUCUUCGAUCCAGUGCUUCCCGUGGCCUUUGAGCUUGUCAAAGGUUCUCAUCUUGAGCCCCCGCAGUACCUCUGCGUUGGCUCGCUCCGCCCGUCUGUUACUCCUCGGGUGAGCAACGGACACGAAGCGCAGCUUAGUGCCCAUGUCUUCGCAGUAGGCUUGAAACGCCGCGCUCGUGAAUUGCGUGCCAUUGUCGGUGAUAAUGCUGUUAGGGACACCAAACGGGCACACAAUGCCCUUGAAGAACUUGAUGGCCGCCUGGGCGGUCACCUUCCGCACUGGUUCCACCUCCACCCACUUGGAGAACUUGUCCAUGACCACGAAUAAAUAUUCGUAACCGCCGACCACCCUCGGUAGCUUGCCGACGAUGUUCAGCCCCCAGACCGCGAACGGCCAUGAGGACGGGAUGACAUGCAGGGCCUGCGCCGGUUGGUUGUUCUUCUUUGAGUGGAACUGGCACGCCUCGCACGUCUUCACAAGUCGCUCCGCAUCGGCCAGGGCCGUGGGCCAGUAGAAGCAAUGCCGAAACGCCUUGCCGGCUAGAGCCUGGGAGGCCACAUGGUGUGAACAUGUGCCUCGAUGUAUGUCUUCCAACAGUGAGCACCCUUUUUCCUGCGGCACUCAGAUGAGUUUGACACCGUUCGCACGCCUGCGGUAGAUGUUACCAUCUACCACAAUGUACAUCUUGGCUUGCCGCGCUACACGCUCCGCGGCGACGUCAUCUUCCGGGAGAGCCUCCCGUUUCAAAUAGCGGGCGAUUUCUUCCGCCCAGGGGGCAAUCAGGCUCUCGUAUUCCGCCGUGCUGUUGGUGAAGUUAGCGAAGUCGAGUUGAACAGCAAACCUCAACUAGUCCCCUAUUGGUGACUCGAUGACGACCCCAGCGCCUGCUCCUUGAAGACUGAACGCAUCGUCGAAGUAGAGGACCCAGUGGUCCUCGUCCAACUUGCCGGGCAGGCAGGUCUCCGGCUCACUUUCUUCUACGCCCGUGGACGUCCAUUCCGUGACAAAGUCCGCCAGGGCCGUGCUCUUAAUGCUUUUGGAGUUGGCGAAGUGGAGGUCGAACUCCGACAACUCCAUCCUCCAUUCGGCCACCCUCCCGGGGGCUUCACGGUUGGUGAGGGCUCGCUCGAGGCAGAACCCAGACACCACCGUGACGCGGUGCGCCUGGAAGUAGUGGCGCAGCUUGCGGGACGCAAGGAGAAUGCCCAGAAGGAGCUUCUGUACUUGCGGGUACCUUGUCCGCGCGUCGCGCCGCACGUACUAACGAAGUACACCGGGUGCUGCACCAACCGCGUCCGCGGUGCCGAGGUUGCCGGCUCGGGGGCGGUUCCGGGUCUGAGGCGGUUGCUGGGGGCUGCCCCGCCCCCUGCCCCGCAGCCCCAGUCCCCGGGACGUCUUCCUCCCUCUCGGCAAUCAGCACCGAGCUGACCACCUGGUCAGUCGCCGCUAAGUAGAGUUCAGCGGCUCGCCCGGCUUGGGGGUGACGAGGAUGGGCGGCGACCUCAGGUACUGCUUGAGUUCUUAGAACGCCGCCUCGGCCUUGGGAGUCCAGUCGACUGGACUCUUCUUCUUCAUCACCCUGAAGAAAGACAAGGCACGCUUGCCCAGCCUGGAGAUGAAACGUCCCAGCGCGGCAACACAGCCGUUGAGGUGCCGGACAUCUUUCACCAUGUGGGGGGCCUCCAUCUUCUCGAUGGCUUCUACUUUGGUCGGGUUGGCCUGUGUCCCCCCGUGUGAAACCAAGAAACCCAGAAGCUGCCCGGACUUGACACCGAAGGUGCCCUUAGCAGGGCUCAGCUUGAGCUUGAUCCUGCGGAGGUUGUCGAACGUCUCCCGUAGGUCAUCAACCAGCGAGUCCCCACGCUUCGUCCAUGUAGGCCUCCGCGUUGCGGCCUAGCUGGGGCCCCAAACAUUCGCGCAGGGCGCGCAGGAAUGUGGAGCCCGCGUUCUUCAACCUGAAGGGCAUGCAUGUAUAGCAAUAGCAGCCAACCGGGUGAUAAACGCUGUCUUUUCCUCAUCCUCGACCGCCAUCUUGAUUUGAUGGUAGCCGGAGAAAGCAUUCAGAAAACUCAGCAAGUCACAACCAGCGGUAGAAUCAACUAUUUGGUCGAUACGGGGUAUAGGCAAGGGAUCCUUGGGGCAUGCACGAUUGAGAUCGGUAAAAUCUACGCACAUGCGAAGCUUAUUCCCUGCUUUAGGCACUAUUACAGGGUUAGCCAGCCAAGUGGGGUACAAAAUUUCCCUGAUUGCCCCGGCAGCCUUGAGCUUGCCCACCUCUUGCUUGAUGAAAUCUUUCCGCUCUUGUGCUUGCCACCGGAUCUUCUGCUUGACGGGGUGCGCAUCCGGGCGCACCGCGAGCCGAUGCUCAAUCACCUCCCUGGGACUCUGGGAAGGUCCGACGGUUACCAGGCGAACACGUCGGCAUUAUCCCGGAGGAAGGUGACGAGGGCGCUUUCCUAUUCGGCGGCCAGGUUCACACCGAUAGUAACGGUGAGCUCCCUGUCGCCGGCUUGGAGGGACAGCUUCUUCACUUUGGCGGCCUCCUCCCGGAGCUCUGCCCCUUCCCGGGGCACGAGCUCGAGCCUGCGCCUCUUCCGGCAAGCCCUUGUGGGGUAGCGCGGGCCUUCUUCGUUGCCGGGGCACCGCCUGGCAAGCCGUCGUCCUUGACAGCAUCCUCGUCGCCGGCGUCAGCUGCAGCAGCGGCCCGGACGACCACGCCAACACGCCAAGCCGCGUCUUUGAGGUUGCACCUGAUGGAGAGGACUCCAUAGAAGGACAGCAUCUUCAUCACGCCAUAGACGCAAUGCGUAGCCGCCAUAAACUUGAUUAGCGCUAGCCGACCAAGGAUCCCGUUGUAGGGCAACGGGGUAUGCGCCACGUCGGACACUAUGUGCUCGGUCCUGAACGCUUCCCGAGACCCGAAGGUGACCGGCAGCGUGAUGCGUCCCAACGGGCGCACGAUCCCGGGGUUCACCCCCCGGAACGGUUCGGUGGGCUUCAGCUGCUCCAUCGGCAGCUGGAGCUUUUCCACCAGCCUGGCGGACAGGAGGUUAAGCCCCGCUCCGUUAUCCACUAGCACCUUGGUCACCGUCAUAUUGCUAAUGAUCAGCGAGACGACGAAGGGUAUUACCACGGAACCCAACUGUCGCGCUGGGUGAUCGUCGGCGCUGAAGGUCACGUGCGACCACCUCAGCGGCUGUUGCGGCUCUGCAUCCGGCAACAGCGCGCACACGUCGCGGGUGAGGCGCUUCACCGUGGCGUGGGAUGGGAGCGCGUAAGAUCCCCCAAGGAUGCAGGCGACGCCACGAGGCUCCUGGAAGCCCGGUUCGUCGCCGCCGGUGUAGUCGGACUCGCGCUGCUCCUCAGCGCGCGUCCUGUCGCGUCCCCGAGGAGGGCGUUCACCCCAAGCGCGGGGUUGGCCGUGUCCCCCUUGGGGUUCACCCCUGCCGGCGCCACCGCCGGCCGGCCUCGGACCCGCUCUGGGGUCGUUCGGGCAAUCUCGGGAGAGAUGCCCGAUGUCGCCACAAUUGAAGCAGGUGCCGACGGCGCGGCGCUCCUCGUGGCGCUGCUCCCACCACUGCUUGAUCCCCUGCAAAACGCGGCAAUUCUGCGCGUUGUGGGUGGAGUUGCUGUGGAUGGGGCAGCGGGGCGCGUCGCCCGGCUUCCCGCCAGACUCUCCACCCGGCGAGGCCUUCUUCGUGGGCCUCGCGGCGGGAGCCCCCGAGUCCGCAGCGCGGACUUGGUUCCCGCUGCACUUGCGGGAACCCUUCUUCUUCGGGCCCUCGCCAGGGCUCGCGGCAGCCUGGGCUGCCAGCUCGGGUGCUAGGCGUACAAGUCCUGCGUCGUCCGGAUCCGAUGCGUGCUCAGCUUCUCGUGCAUCUUGGGUUCGCGGACAUUGAUGGCGAAGGUGUUGAUAAUGGCAGCCGCCUCCGCCUCCGGGAUGGAAUAGGAGAGGUUGGAGAAGCGGUUGACGAAGGCCCGCAGUUGUCGUCGCUGGGUGCUCCGACACCGGGGGCGUGCGGCCACAUACCCCCUUUUAGGUUCGGUAGGGGCGUUUGGGGCGGAGACCCGGUGAUCACCGGCACGGCCGAUGAGGCCCUACGGGGCCGGUGAGACAAAGUGCUAAGGGUGCGCGCUGGUCCAAGAACAGGUGCACACACGUUUUUUACCAAGGUUCGGGCCACCCGGAGGUGUAAAACCCUACGUCAUGCCUGUCUGAGCUGAUAUUGAUUACGGAUGAAAUGUUUACGGGUUGCCGGGCAAGCUCCCGGGCUAUCUCUCAGUGGCUAGGCACCCCUGAAGCGACCGCCCCCUUACAAGGGUUCGAUCUCUGUGCUUUAGUGCUAGUCCCUGGAUCGACUCACUAGCACACACAGUUUCAAGAUGUAAUAUCAUAGAACAAAGGUCUCAAUAUUACAACGUAUCAUCCAGAAUUUAAAAGAUACUUACAACUCGCAUAACCUCACGGGUUAGCUGGAAAUAAAACAACUGUUUAGCAAUGGAAAACGGAAGAUACAAGGGCACAUCAACACCACGAAGAGAGCGUGUUGGAAUGUAAGUCCGUAACCCAAACAUGCAGAACGUACAUCUUACUCGUCGUCGGUGCUUCCUGCAUCAUUAAACGAUGCAGCCACUAGGGUCAAUACAUUGAAUGUAUUGACAAGAUUCACUAGGAGUUAUAAUAGAACGUACCAAGUAUAUGCAGUAUUUGGCAAAGUGGAGUUCAGGCUGUUUGCGUGGAAGCAGAACAUAAAUUACCCUACUACAAAAGAAUGUUAUAGUAAUGUUAACUAAUGGACACGGGGUAGACACACCGAUGCUCCUAUUAACCUAGAGUACAUUGAAGUGGAUUCUUCAAGUACCCCUACCCUGUUCAAACCAUUCAUUUUAUUUAAGAAAUUGGAAUGAGUGAAACUUUCCUUACAGCUCCAUAUCUAGUCGCUCAAAAUGUCCGUUGCCGGGGACACGGCUAAGUACUUAGUUUUAACGCUCUCAACAGUUUGUACACAUUCCCCACAAGAAACCGACGUGUUAAUCCCUUGCUGACCUCAGGUUAGAGUAGCAACGGCAUCGAUUACGAGAUUUUCAGAGGUAAUUCCCUAAACCACGAGAGAAUCACGCUCCCCCUACACAGCUACCUCAGUACAAUUCCUCGGGUCUAGGUUCAUACAACUUACUCUUGUCUCGUCAGAGCCCAUAUAGCAUUGUGGUUGUGCGGCCAUGCGGGAAUAUCCCCCGAAGCCGCGCUAGCCCCUUUCGGGCUGGUAGCUUGCCGGGGAGCUCAUAGACGCUGCCCGGGAUGAGACCUUCCCAGGAACCCGAGAGAGGGGCCCGCGCAUCGCGCAGCGGUGGUACCCCGGGUGCCACUGGUUUGGAAAUUGUUGGGAGUAGGUGGAAGGUGCCUCUUCUUCUUGAGUUACUUGGAAGCAUGCUCCAUAAACUCCACAUCAUCCAAAAGAGGAGCCUUGGUUAGAAUCAACUUCAUGAUGAACGGGAAAAAAAGAGGCACUCUCCGUGAGAGAAUCGCCGCAUGAAGCUCAUAAGACUCCUGUCGGUGCAUUAAAUGCACUGCGCCCGCCGUCUCGUCCUGUCUUCACUGUUCUUGCGGGCCCCGCCUGCAUGCGCAAGCGUGGGUUGCUGGGGUGCCCCUUCCCGGCUAGCGCACCUGCUAGUUGCCGGGAGGCGUUCCUUCAGCUUCCCGGGACCGGGGUUCCUGGGAGCUUCUUGUACUUGGCCCUUAGCUUCACCUUCACCAAGGGUCGUCUCCUCGAGGCAGGCUUUCCGGACUCAUCGCUUCCCGGGAGGUCUUCUUGACAGGACUUCAUCACUGGCGACCAACGUGUCCCGUAUCAGUGGGACCCCGUGGGCCACUGGUACGACAGUAGCCCCCGGGCGUGGGCCGGCAACCUUGAAGCUUCCGGCAAGUGCUAUCCUCGGUCGUUUGCCGGGCUACGCCCUACCCGAUGUGUGGGUCCCAAGGGGGAACCCCCCUGACACCCGGCCUCGCGGGCCGCAUUUAUAGUUCCACUCCUCUGAGCGAAAUGGUCGGGCGCACGAUUUCGUGCCUUAUCCCCCUUAAUCACCAGAGGGUUAAGGCCAUGUCGUGCACCCCUCUCUUAAUCCCCGAUUCUUUAGGGCACUUUAUAACCGAUCGUGGGGGUGUCCGUUGUAGCCCGCCACCCCGAUAAAUACCCAAGGCCGACCGCGGGCACUCCCCAUUGCCUCUUGCUUCUGCCAUUGCCUCCUCCCAAGCUCUCCGCGCCCCCUACUCCGACCAGACCACCUCUCCACCUCCGCCGAUGUCUUCCAAGGGCCAGAACCAUCCCAAGGGGAGCACCAGCAAGGGGGAAAAGCGCGAAAAGGCCAGUAAGACCGAGCUGUCGGACAGGGGCCGGAAGGAUGAGGAAAUGCGGGCUAAGUUCGCCUUCUCCCCCCCCCCCCCGGGUACAACGGCGAGGGGGUCGACAAGCUGGUUUUGGCGCUGGCCACCAAGCACAACGAGUACGGGCCGACGCGGAUUCUCCUCGUUGAUGCGGAGUGCAACGGACGGUACUUCCGGAUCUUCGGGAGGUUCAUCCUUGCCGGGUUCGUGCCGCCGCACUUCUACUUCCUUUCAACCAUCAUGGAGACCUAUGGGCUCAUCAUGGCGCAGCUUCACCCCACGUCGUUCUUCACACUGGCUGUCUUGCAACACCUCUGUGAAGCGUUCGUGGGGAUGAUGCCGUCGGUGGCGUUAUUCUGCCACUACUACUACCCGAGGGUGGAGUGUUCCGAUUCCGUGACAAGAUCAAGUCGGAGUUCAUCGAGUUGGGGAAGAAAAAGAUCGAGCACGAGUGGCGCCGCGACUGGUGCUGGGCGCGCACCGACGAGCUCCAGGAGUUCCACGAGGAGCCCCUCGGGCCUCCGACGGGCUCUGACGACUGGAAGCUCCGCGACCAGAACGACGAGGAGCUGGCCCCAAUCUGCGUGAAGAUCAAAGCGCUCCGUGAGGCUGGGCUCACGGACACGGAUGUGGCCCGCCACUUCAUCGGGAGGCGCGUGGCUCCCCUGUAGCGGCGCUCACAUCCAGCGUGGAUGUCGGAGCACGGUCUCCAGCACCGGGGAUGCUGAGCACCCACUUUUUGGUUCGGUGGAGGGCGAGGUGAUCGCUCUGGCAAUCGCCGACGUGGCUAUCGACACGAAGGGUUGACACGAGAGUUUACCCAGGUUCGGGUCACCCGGAGGUGUAAUACCCUACGUCCUGCUUCGAAGUUGUAUUCCUUAGUAUGAGUGUUACAGGUUGCCGAGGAGUUCCCAGGCUUUUCUACUCGUCCCUCUAAGGGCUUAGCUACUUGGGUGAAUGCUGAACUGGUCGGAACCGAACUGAACUGAGGUCGAACCCUUUGACCGGUGACAUCGGUCCUCCUUUUAUAGAUAAGGGGAUACCACAGGUACCUAUGCAUGCAGUGUGACACGUUUCCCAGACGCAUGUCACAGCCACAUGAAAUACAUCUUUGCUCAUCCAUGCUGGACGCCAUGCAGCGCCCGGUCCACUGUACAAGGUAGGAAAAAUAGUUCGUAGGGUAGUCGCCCUAGCUUUGUUAAGCAAGACUAUGCCUGCUGAUAAGACUCCUGUCGGUGCAUUAAAUGCACUGCGCCCGCCGUCUUAUCCUGUCUUCACGAUUCUGCAGGCCCCGCCUGCAUGCCCGAGCGUGGGUUGCUGGGGUGCCCCUUCCCGGCUAGCGCACCUGCUAGUUGCCGGGAGGCAUUCCUUCAGCUUCCCGGGACCGGGGUUUCCGGUGGCUUCUUGUACUCGGCCCUUGGCUUCACCUUCACCAAGGGUCGUCUCCUCGAGGCAGGCUUCCAGGACUCAUCGCUUCCCGGGAGUCCUUCCUGAUGGGGCUUCGUCACUGGCGACCCACUCGUCCCGUAUCAGUGGGACCCCGUGGGCCACUGGUACGACAGUAGCCCCGAGGCGUGGGCCGUCAGCCUUGAUGCUUCCGGCAAGUGCUAUCCUCGGUCGUUUGCCGGGCUACGCCCUACCCGACGCGUGGGUCCCAAGGGGGAACUCCCCUGGCACCCGGCCUCGCGGGCCGCAUUUAUAGUUCCGCUCCUCCGAACGAAAUGGACGGGCGCAUGAUUUCGUGCCUUAUCCCCCUUAAUCAGCAGAGAGUUAAGGCCAUGUCGCGCACCCCCUUUCUUAAUCUCCGAUUCUUUAGGGCUCUUUACUGCCGAUCGUGGGGGUGUCCGUUGCGGCCUGCUAGCCCCGAUAAAUACCCAAGGCCGGCGGCGGGCACUCCCCAUUGCCUCUUGCUUCCGCCAUUGCCUCCUCCCAAGCUCUCCGCGCCCCAUCUUCAACCAAACAACCUCUCCACCUCCGCUGAUGUCUUCCAAGGGCCAGAACCGUCCCAAGGGGGGCACCAGCAAGGGGGAAAAGUGCGAGAAGGCCAGUAAGAAGGAGCUGUUCGACAGGGCCCGGAAGGAUGAGGAAAUGCGGGCUAAGUUCGCCUUCUUCCCCCCCCCCCCCCCGGAUACAACGACGAGGGGGUCGACAAGCUGGUCUUGGCGCUGGCCACCAAGCACAACGAGUACGGGCCGAAGCGGAUUCUCCCCGUCGGUGCGGAGCGCGAUGGGCAGUACUUCCGGAUCUUCGGGAGGUUCAAACUUGUCGGGUUCGUGCCGCCGCACUCCUACUUCCUUUCAGCCAUCAUGGAGACCUAUGGACUCAUCAUGGUAGAGCUUCACCCCACGUCGCUCUUCACACUGGCUGUCUUCCAACACCUCUGUGAAGCGUUCGUGGGGGUUAUGCCAUCGGUGGCGUUAUUCCGUCACUACUACUACCCGAGGGUGGAGAAGAAGGCUCCCCUGUCCUCGAGGGUAGUGUUCCAAUUCCGCGACAGGAUCAAGUCGGAGUUCAUCGAGCUGGGGAAGAAAACGAUCGAGCACGAGUGGCGUCGCGACUGGUGCUGGGCGCGCGCCGACGAGCUCCAGGAGUUCCACGAGGAGCCCCUCGAGCCUCCGAAGGGCUCUGACGAUUGGCCGCUCCGCGACCAGAAGGACGAGGAGCUGGCCCCAAUCUGCGCAAAGAUCAAGGCACUCCGUGAGGCUGGGCUCACUGACACGGUUGUGGCCCACCUCUUCAUCGGGAGGCAUGUGGCUCCCCUGCAGCGGCGCUCACAUUCGGCGUGGAUGUACACUGGGGCCGGCGACCGGACACGCCUGCAACGCACAGACCUCCUCCCGGAGGAAGAGCAGUUUUGGGUGAAGGGCAUCACCGGCGAGGACGAACCUUACCGGCUGCCCUCGCUUGGAGCGCACCCGCUCCACGUCGGGAUCCCGAACCCGGGAGCCCGGGAUCUCCCACUCUGCGACGAGUGAGGAUCGUGGAGGACCCCUCGGCGCAACCCCCCCCCCCCCCCCGCAGCCUAGGCCCCAGAGGGCAAGAAGCCGGCUGCCAACUCGGGGAGAAGGGGCCUAGGCCAGGCCUCCGCCAAGGCAGAAGGCUCGGACUCCGACGACUCCUCAUUGGGCGUCGGAGGAGACCUCAGCGACGACGACGACGACGACGACGGCGACGACGACGGCGACGCUCGCCCAGCAGCCGGCGGGGUCGCGCCGGAGGAGGACGACGAGGAAGACGACGUCCCCCUGGUGAGGCGGUCCGUGGCGCAGCGGGCGGGGAGGCGGGAGGCCAGCCCGCAGCCUCCGGAGCCUCACGGCGACGCGGGGGCUGGGGCCUCCAGCGGCGGCGAUGCGGCCGCAACAGCCCCCCCCCCCCCCCGACCACCCCAGCGGCUCCAACAGCUUCGCCCACACGAAGCGGCCCUCCGGCGAGGAGCAUCCUGGCAGACAGGGUGCUCAAGCUCAAACCGGCAGGGUAAGUUCAAAUUUCCCAAAACGCCAUUGAUUUCACAAAUUUUUGUGUGCCUGACUAACUUGUUUCCGCAUUUUCUAGUUCUUCGAAGAAGAGGGGGCAGACCAGCACAUCGCCGGCAGCCCCACCCAGCAUCGGGCGGCGGCGACGGAGACGCCGCUAACGCGGCUGUUGUGACGGCGGCAGCAGCAGCUGGGGACCCGAGGAUCCCCGAUUCGAGCUCGCAGGGCAUCGGCCCAGCGGCAGGCACGUGCGAGUUCCCAUCCUUCCUUUAUUCAUCUGCUCCGUCUCCCGUACUCGACGCAGGUGCUCUUCGUGCAGCUGCCGGGGAGGUUUCGGCUGUGCCCGCGCCCACAGAGGUGCGGGUAAUCGACAUCACCGGCUAGGUCGACGACGAUGCUCCGACGAAGGUUGCCUCCGUCGGAGCCCUUCAGCAAUCGGCCACGGCACCCGCCGGGGCCGUGACAGCUGCCGUAGGUGACGCCACACAGGGGACGCCAUCUGAGGCAGGUGAGACAGAGCAGCCUCUGCCAGCCGGAGCAGGCGGCAGUGCUCUGGAGAAGCCCCCGAGCCCCCAGCCCGCCCCUACGGACGGGCAGGGAACAACAUGGCUUGGCCAGGCCGAGGGCGCCGUCAAAUCCCGACGCGCCCUCAGGAUCACAGACGGUCGCGGCGGGGUCCUCCUCCGCCAGAGCCGCCUUUAGCCCAGGAGCAGGGGAACUCGCCGCGCGAACUUGGGGUCGGAUUACCUUCGUCCCCAGCGUGUUCCAACAGGGACACCAAGUGAUCGACAACAUCCAACAGCAGCAACGCAUAUUCGUCGAUUUCUUCAACGACGCACAGCAGCACCACACCCGCGUGGUGGCGGAGCUGGGUGCAACGCGACAGGAGGCGGAGGAGCAGCGUACCGAGCUGCAGCGGCUCCGGGAGGAGCUCCGGCAGGCGCGGCAAGUCGGGGCGACGCCUGCUGUGCAAGGGGUGCCGGAGGCGGAAGUCCUCCAGCAGCUGUGGGAUCUCCAGCAAGAGCACCAGCGGGAGCUCGAACUGGUGAAAGCCACACACGCCAAGAGCAAGGAGGAGCACCAGGCGGCUCUGGACUCGUUCUAGGGGCGUCUCCGGGAGAAGACGGACUUGCUGUCCGGCUACUCCUUGGAGAUGUAGCGCCUCCGCCACGAGUUCGGAGAGCUGGAGACGGCGGCUGCAACGGCAACCGAAGCCUCAACGCGCCGGGAGAAGGAGCAGCAGGACCAGACCCGUUCCCGAGAGCGCGAGCUUGCGGGGAAGCUCAAGGCCGCCCAAGAUGCCAGUUCGUCCCUUCAAGGCGAGCUCGACACGGUGUGGCAGGAACUCCGGCUGAUCGACGACGACAACACCAAGAAGGCGUCCGAGAUCGGCAGGUUGAAGUCCGAGUGCCGCGAGCACAAGCUGCAGGCCCAGGAGGCUCGCGGUGCAUGCACCGAGCUGCGGGCCCGCAGGACAGGGAAGGUGGCCAGGCUGAAGAAACUGGCGGAUUCGGCGGUGGAGGCGCUACAGGGAUUUGACAUCCCUGUGGCUUCCUUCGAUGGGGCAAACAUGGGGAGCUUCACUUCUUUCUUCACAGACUUUGUCGGCCGACUGAGCGGCCUGCAGAGCUGUGUGCCGGCCUUCGGGGACCGGCAAGUCGGCCUUGCGGCCGAGCAGGUCGCCGGGCAAAUUCUCACCCGGGUCCACUCCGCCCACCCUGACUUCCCGUUCGAGUCGGUCUUCGACGCCUGGUCAGACGAGGAAGAGGCCAAGACCCACCGGGAGGCCGUACAGGGCGUCGUGGACGAGAUGGGGGCGCGGAUGCAGGGCAAGGUUGAUGAAGACGAAGCCGCUUCUGAGGAGGUUGCCGGAGAAUCCCCCGAUGCCGUGGAUGCACCCGGCACCGACGCAGCCGCCCAGGGAGCACCUCCCGCAUGAUUGCCUGUUGUUCUUUUUAUUUAUCUUCCUGCAAGUGGCACAUGGCGCCUUAGAACUUUUUAUGUUAGCUUUCCCUUAUCACCGCAAGUGUUAUUUGUCAACUUGUUUUGCUCAAGCUUCAAUAUAUCAAAUGCCACUUUUAUUUGCUUCUUUGCCUAAGACUAGCCUACCGGGGAGGGGCUCUGUCCUUCUCGUGUCCUAGCCUUGCAUACCCGGGGACUCGCCAACCACGUGCUUGGCCAGACUAGGGAUCCGGGACGGACUCACGGUGCCGACCUAGGACCAAACAGCAACGGCUAGUCACUCCGCCUGCCGGUUAACUACCCCAGCGUGCACACCUCCGGGACGGACCCGCGAGCCACGUGUGGGGGGCGUCCUCACCCCGCAAGCGUCCUUCCUACGCUCCGACAACACGGGGACCGAGCUUACCUCAGCAAGCCAGCGUUACUAAAGGGAAAAAACCAAGGACCCAAAAUGAGAUACUUAGCUUCCCAUUCUCUUUGAUCUUUUAGCAUCUCGUUGAGAGCCGUGGCAAGGACGCGGUGGCAGUGCACCCUCCAGCAGCACCCUCGGAGCCGCGGAGGCAUGCACCACCACCACGUCUUUACGACGCCUCUCGCUUGUCUCAUCGCCAUUUCUGGUGUCGUUUCGUAAGAGAUGUGGCAGGACCGUGAUGGUGGGAACACCCUCAGCGACAAGCGCAGAGAGAUGCACCACCAUCGCCUCUCUGCGACAUCUCUUGCUUUCUUGCCCGUUGUUGGUGCUGCACUUGCCCCGGUUUCUUUAAAUAGCCGAAGCGAUGCCCUUGCCUCCACAGGCGCGGGACCACCAGUCGCCGCGUGGAGGCACUGGCCCUGUCUCAGUUUCCUGCAUCAAGCCUCGAAGUAAUUUCCAUAUAUAUACAACUUAUGCGCAACACGACAACACCCGUGACCACUCCACGAGCGUCACAGUGUGCCUUCACCUCAUCUUUACCCUGCAUGUCAGAUUCCUGUAGUGCCCAAGGUGCAUAACAAAAAUUUCGAAAUGCAUGAAAAACAGUAUAAAUUGGAUAACCUCCUGCCUCCCAGCCCCGGGCACAGAAGAGUCGACCUCAAACUUUGGUGUGAGUAUCUUUCUUUUCCCGUGGUGCCUUGCUGGCACGUAGCACGUUGCGGACGGGUCCGGCAACUGUAGGCCUCGUUCCGGGGCAUCCCGGCAACGAGCUUGGUUUUUGGGGUUCCGGCAGCCCCCUGCUCACAGCCAAGGAUGAGGAGACGAUUCUGUGCACCUAGAGCAGGAGGCAGAAGCAUUCAUAAAUAGCAAAGCACAAUAUUCAUUGAAGCAACACUUAUCUUUAUUCAACUUUGUGCUAGCGGAUUACAAUCGGGCCUUGCCCGGCCACACUAGCUUAAAGAGGCACGCUGCCGCAGCGUCACCCGUGAGUAAGGUGCCACCGUUUCACGAGUAGAACUUGCGCAGGUCCUCAAUGUUCCAACUAUUGGGCACCGGCAAGCCUUCUUCGGUUUCCAGCCGGAGAGCCCCCGGUCUGGUCACCUGCACUACCCGGAAAGGGCCUUCCCAGAUUGGAGUCAACUUGUUCCCGGCCUUCGUUCCUUGUAUCCAGCGCAGGACGAGGUCUCCAACCUCGAGCCCCCGGGGACGGACUCUCAUAUCGUGAUAACGACGGAGUCCCUGCUGGUAGCCUGCAGCUCGCACCGCAGUCCGGCAUCGAAUCUCCUCGAUGAAGGUAAGGACAUCAAUCCUCUGCGCGUGUUGGCUCUUGUCGUCGUACGCGCGUACCCGAGGUGACCCAUACUUGAGCUCGAGGGGCAGCAUUGCUUCUGCCCCGUAGACGAGGGUAAACGGAGUUUGACCCGUCGCCCGACUUGGUGUGGUCCACAACGACCACAGCACGGGCUAGAGUUCUUCAACCCAGUGUUUCCCGUGGCCCUUGAGCUUGUCAAAAGUUCUCGUUUUGAGCCCCCGUAGCACUUCUGCGUUGGCUCGCUCAACUUGCCCAUUGCUCCUUGGAUGAGCAACAGAGGCAAAGUGAAUCUUAGUGCGCACAUCCUCGCAGUAAGCUUGGAACACCGGACUAGUGAAUUGCGUGCCGUUGUCGGUGAUUAUGCCGUUAGGAACACCAAACAGUCACACAAUGCCCUUGAAAAACUUGAUGGCCGUGAGGACGGGAUGACUUGCAAGGCUUGCGCUGGUUGGUUGCUCUUCUUGGCAUGGAACUGGCACGCUUCACGGGUCUUGACUAAUUGCUCGGCAUCGGCUAGUGCUGUCGGCCAGUAGAAGACGUGCCGGAACACUUACCCAGCUAGUGACCUGGAGGCCACAUGGUGCGAGCAUGUGCCUCGAUGUAUAUCCUCCAACAACGUGCGCUCUUCCUCCUGGGACACGCAGAUAAGCAUGACUCCAUUAGGACGCCUCCGGUAGAGUUCUCCGUCCACCAGGGUGUACAUCUUGGCUUGCCGGGCUACUCGCUCCGCGGCAAUUUCUUCCUCCAGGAGGGUCCCAUCCUUGAGAUAGCGAACAAUGUCCGUCCCCUAGGGUGGUGGCUCCCGGCUAGUGUAAACCACCAACUUGGCGGCAUGGUCCUCCGCAGCUGCAGGGUCGCCUUGAGUUACCGGACGGGCUUCCCCGGCAACUGUCUUGGGGUCGACAGAGGGCUUUGACUGCCUCUGCACGAACACCCCAGGAGGCACCUUGCUGCGUUCCGCUGCCCACUUGGACAAUUCAUCCGCAACAAAAUUGUCCUUGCGCUUUACGUGCUCAAAUCAAAGUUCUUUGAACUUGGACUCCAAUUUUCGCACUUCCUUCAUGUAAGCUGCCAUCUGAGGGCAGUCGUAGUCCUUGUUUACCUGGUUGAUCACGAGUUGGGAGUUCCCACGAACAACCAAGCGCUUGAUGUCGAGGGCGAUUGCUGCGCGCAGCCCGGCAAGUAGUCCCUCGUACUCUGCUGUGUUGUUGGUGGAGUUGGCAAAGUCGAGCUGUAUUACGAACUUGAGCUGGUCUCCAGUGGGCGACUCGAUCACCACUCCGGCACCGGCGCCCUGGAAGCAGAAGGCGCUGUCGAAGUACAUGACCCAGUACCCUUCGUCCAAUCUGUCGGGAAGGCUCGCUUCCGGCUCUUCUUCCUCUAUGCUUGUCGAUGUCCACUCCACAACGAAGUCAGUGAGAGCGGUGCUCUUAUGCUCUUGGUGUUUGCGAAACGCAGCCCGAACUCCGCUAACUCCAUCCUACACUCGGCCACCCUUCCGAAGGCUUCACGAUUAGUGAGGGCCCUCUCCAGGCAGAACCCUGACACCACCGUGAUGCUGUGCGCCUGAAAGUAAUGGCGCAGCUUUCUCGAAGCGAGCAGGAUCCCGAGAAAAAGCUUAUGGACCUGCGGGUACCGUACCCGGGCAUCACGCAGCACCGUGCUGACGAAGUACACGGGAUGUUGCACUAGCCGCUUGCGAGGGGGCAGCCUGCAUGGGCCGUCCCUCGGAUUCAGGGGCGCAGGAGGUAGCCGGGGGUUCCGGCCGGGGGUUCCUUCAGCUCGCCGGGAGCCCCCGGCCCUUCCUUCUCAGCCCCCGGGACUUGCUCUUCCCUCUCGGCAACGAGCACGGAGCUCACUACCUGGUCCGUCGCUGCUAGGUACAGCAGCAACGGCUCGCUCGGCUUGGGGGCGACGAGGACCGGCGGCGACUUCAAGUACCUCUUCAAGUCCUGGAACGCCGCUUCCGCCUCGGGGGUCCAAUGGAUUGGACCCUUCUUCUUCAUCACCUUGAAGAAAGGCAGGGCUCGCUUGCCCAGCCUUGAUAUGAAACGCCCAAGCGCCGCAACGGGUGCGUUGCGGCGCUGGACGUCCCUGACCUUGCGGGGUACCUCCAUCUUCUUGAUCGCGUCGAUCUUCUGUGGGUUGGCUUCAAUUCCCCUGUGAGAGACCAAGAAGCCCAGCAAGUGCCCCGAGUCCACACCGAACGUGCACUUCUCGGGGCUAAGCUUGAGCUUGAUCCUGCGGAGGUUGUUGAACGUCUCCUGCAGGUCGCCGACGAACGAGUCCCUAUGCCACGACUUGACGACGAUAUCGUCCAUGUAGGCCUCGAUGUUUCGGCCUACCUGGGGUCCCAGACAUUCGCGCAAGGCACGCUGCAAUGUCGAGCCCGCGUUCUUCAGCCCGAAACACAAGCACGUGUAACAGUAGCAGCUAACCAGGGUUAUAAACGUUGUUUUCUCCUCAUCUUCGACUACCAUCUUAAUCUGAUGGUAGCCGGAGAAGACAUCUAACAAGCACAAAGACUCACAACCUGCUGUAAAAUCUACUAUUUGAUCGAUUCGGGGUACAGGGAAGGGGUCCUUAGGGCAUGCACGAUUAAGAUCAGUAAAAUCUACACACAUGCGCAAUUUAUUUCCAGACUUUGGGACUACAACAGGGUUCGCUAACCAAGUAGGGUACAACACUUCCCUAAUUGCCCCGGCGUUCUUGAGCUUCUCCACUUCCUACUGGAUGAAGUCUUUGCGUUCUUGUGCUUGCCUGCGAACUUUCUGCUUGACGGGCCGCGCGUCCGGCCGCACCGCCAGCCAAUGCUCGAUCACCUCCCUAGGGACUUCGGGAAGAUCUGACGGCUCCAAAGCGAACACGUCAGAUUUCUCCCGGAGGAAGGCGACGAGGGCGCUUUCCUAUUUGUCGCCGAGGCUCGCACCGAUAGAGACGGUGCGUGCCUCGUUGCUUGCAUGUAGGGGCACCUUCUUUACCUUGGUGCCCUCCUCCUUCAGCUUCGUGCCCUUGCUUACGCGUGGGCCGGAGCUGGAGCUGCGCCCGGCAUCCUGUCCGGGAGCGGCUCGCGCCUUUUUCUAUGCGGGUUGUUCACCUGCAAGUGGAUCCUCGCUCCCGGCAACAUCGUAGUCACCGGGAUCCGCCACUGCUGAGGUCUUCACGACCUCGCCCACACACCAAGCAGCGUCCUUCAGGUCGCACUUGCUGGAGAGAACGCCGUAUGUUGACGGCAUCAUCAUCACGUCGUAGGCGCAAUGGAUUGCCGCCAUGAACUUGAUCAGCGCUGGCCGACCAAUGAUCCCGUUGUAUGGCAACGGGGUGUGAGCCACAUCAAAAAUGAUGUGCUCAGUCCAAAACGCUUCCCAGGAACCGAAGGUCACCGGGAGCGUGAUUCGCCCCAUGGGCUGCACCACUCCGGGGUUGAUCUCCUGGAACGGGUCGGUGGGCUUCAUCUGCUCCAGGGGCAGCUGAAGUUUUUUCACCAGCUUGGCGGACAGCAGGUUGAGGCCUGCCCCGCUGUCCACCAGUACCUUGGUCACCGUCACAUUGUUUAUGAUCGGCGACACCACGAGGGGGAGUACCCCUGACCCCAAGGGACGGAUCGGGUGAUCGUCCGAGUUCAAGGUGAUCGGCACGUGCGACCACCUCAACGACUGCUGCGCCUCCACGCUGGGGAGGAGGGCACAGACCUCAUGCGUAAGCCGCUUCACGCCUCAUCCUCGCGUUGUUCGGCGCGAGGCUUGUCGCGUCCCCGGGUAGGCUGGUCCUCGCCGCCGCGGGCUUGACCGCGACCCCCAGCUGGUUCUCCUUUGUCACCGCCGGCCGCACCUCGGCCUGCGCCGGCGCGGGGGUUGUUCGGCAGUCCCGGGAGAGGUGCCCGAUGUCCCCGCAGUUGAAGCAAGCCCCAGCAGUGCGGCGCUCCUCGUGGCGCUGCUCGCGCAUCUCCUUGAUGGUCUGGAGAGUGCGACAGUCCUGCGCGUCGUGGGUGGCGUUGGUGUCGAUGGGGCAGCGCGCGUCCGCUGCCGGCUUGCUACCCGAUGCCCCCGCCGAUGCCACCUUCUUGAUGUGCCCCUGGGGAACCCCCGGCUCUGCGGCAAGCACUUGCUUGCCGCCGCGUUUCCGGGAGCCCUUCUUCCCGGAGCCCUCCGGUGGGUUUGCCACCGCUUUGGCGGCAAGCUUGGGCGCCAGGCGCCCUUCCUCGGCCAUCGCGCACUUGUGCGCGAGAGCAUAGAGGUCCCUUGUUGUCCGGAUCCAGUGCGUGUUCAACUUCUCACGCAUCUUCGGGUCGCGGAUGUUGAUGGCGUACGUGUUGAUGAUGGCGGCCGCCUCCGCCUCAGGGAUGGAGUAGUAGAGGUUGGAGAACCUGUUGGUGAAGUCCCGCAACGUCUCCCCCGGCUUCUGCACUACCGUGUGCAGUUCCGCCAUGGUUCCAGGUCAGCCCAGGAAGCUAUGGAUCCGGAGGGCAGGUUGAGCAACCAAGUCCUCGCUGAUCUUUUGAGGACCAUCGGGAACCAGUUGGCCCUGACCUUGUCGUCGGCACCAAUGGCGUGCAUGCCCAACGUGUAGGUCAGGAGGAAAUCCUUGGGAUUCACUAUCCCGUCGUACGUCCCGAGCAUGCUCGGAACUUGCGGGGCCACGUCACCCGGCGCAGCUCGCGAGUAAACGCGGCGCAGCCGUCCUCGGUGCCCAUGGGAGCAUCUUCCUGCUCCUCUGGGCGCUGGCAUUCUGCCUCACGUCGGCGCCGGUGCUCCAAGCACUGGCGGAGGUCUUCCUGCUGGCGAGCGUUCAGGACGCCCCGCGCGUCACCCCGCAUAACGGUCGGUGACGAGUCCGAGGACCCCACGGGAUCCUCGCCUCCGUGCCCUCAUGGCAGGGGAGGGUUUUCUCCGUGCCUUGAGACGCGGGGCGCGUCUUCGCGUCCCGGGUUCUAUCCUCGGCCUGAAGCGGCCGGGCCGCCCUCGCCUUGCGGCUGCUGGGCAGCGAGCAUAGGGAGUGCGUCCAGCUCCGCACUCCACGCUUCAUGCGCCGGUGUGCCUUGCGGUGGCUCGUAACGCACCAUGACACGCGCAGCUAUGAUGGCUUUCGCCGGGGUCUGGGCGGGAGGCUGCCGAUUCUCUGACCGGCUGCCAUCCGCCCUGUCACCCGGUGCCCUCGGAUGUGUGGGGCGAGACUCCGUUGCACACGACGCGCUGUGGUCGUGGCGCGGUUGUCGCUAUGCGUCUUCAGCCCGCGAGUGGACUCGCUGGCUGGCACGGGCGACGUUGCGGUUGCUUGCGCGGCUGGCUCCGGCGCUAGGCGCUGCAGGACCCUUCAGCCGGUUGUCCGUCGACGGCCGAGGAGGCGGAGGUGGCAGCUGCGACAGCUGCUGCCGUGGAGGGGACCCAUGGUCCCCUUGUGAUUGCGACGCGCGCAUGGCGUCAUGGGAUCGAGUGCGCAUGUCGAGGGUGUCGCGCAAGUCAACCCAAGGCUCGUCUGCCCUCUUGGGCGGCAUCGCGAGCUAGUCGUUGAAGAUGUCUAGACGAUGAAGCCGGUGUUGAAGACGAUGACGCCGGCGGUCACUUGAAGUUUUCUGCACGCCCACCUAGCUUCCCGGGACCGGGGUUCCAGGGGGCUUCUUGUACUCAGCCCUUAGCUUCACCUUCACCAAGGGGUCUCCUCGAGGCAGGCUUCCCGGACUCAUCGCUUCCCGAGAGGACUUCCUGACGGGACUUCGUCACUGGCGACCCACGCGUCCCGUAUCAGUGGGACCCCGUGGGCCACUGGUACGACACCCGUCUUGCAUUCAAUGGUCUCCCUGUAGAUGCGUUGCAUGAUGUCAUAAGUGAGCUUCAGAAACUUGGUCCCUCCAAGUGUAGCUCUUCCUUCCAUAUAAAGUGGCUUCAACACCUUUUUGACGGAGGCAUCCUUUUCAUGAGGGCGAAAGCCUGAAGGGAUGGAUUGUCCAGCAUUCUCAUAACCAACGAGGGAGGCAAACUCAGCCCACGUGGCAGUGCAAAAGUGACUCCUUGACAUCCAUGAAACUAUGCGAAUAUUCUGCUCAACUAACUCUUCUUGGUGAACCAUGGCGUAAAACUGGGCCACAAGAUACUCAUUGUAGGGUUGCUUCACCAAGAGCUCAAGGCAACCGCUUCUGUCUAGGCUUCCCAAAUACCCAAGAGAAAUGAAAUCCACAAACAAAAUAAGGGGAAUCAACUUUUUGACUUGGUGAAACCCUAGAUCAAGAUCUUCUCCUCCAAUCCUCAAAGAAUCAAGAGUUGGAAUGAGUUGGAAGUUGGCUAGGGAGGGAGAUCUUGGAGAUUGAAGCUUUUCUGUUCUUGGGAGAGAAAUGGUGUUCUUAGCUGUUUGCUUGGGACUAAGACUCGUUCGGGACGAAGUUUAUAUAAAUGGGGUCCCCAAAAAAUCGAGCCGUUAGGCACAGACGCGGGACGGGCCGGAACUUCCGGGGUUCCGCCGGAAGUUCAAAAUAAUCACUGGAAGGUCCGCAUAUUCCGGAUGCCCUAACCGAGAGCACCCGGAAGUUUGGGCGAAAGUUCACUCGGAACUUUCGGCACCUGGAACCUGGAAUGCCAGAACUAGGAUUUUGAAAUUGGGUUCUUCUCUCACCUAUUUGGGUAGGCCUUUUAGUGGGUGCAAUUUUGUGUAGAUGUGUAGGUGAAAUUGAUUCACCCGUUACCUUCCCUUGUGGAUUCCCUCUUAAUAGUACGGAUGUCCUACGACUCAAAACAACCGAAAAAGCCGUUAAACACCAUUACACUUCUUUCCUUUUAGAGGGUCCACGAAUCGUCUUGUGCCAAGUACUUUAUGGAAUCUGAAAUGCUUAGCAUACUAUUAGAUAAGAUAACACGUUGUCAUCACCACCAAAACCACUUAGGAGAGAAAUGCCCUUUCAACAAUGCUCUACUCAAGAUGCAUCCGACGAUGAUGAUGAUGAAGACGAGACCUCCGACUGAUUUGUUUUGCUUUUCUCUUGGGAUGAUUCUUCCCUUUUUGGUGUGUUGAUGCCAAAGGGGGAGAGUGUAGUUGUGAGGGAGAGUUUAGGAGCCUCAGGAUUUGCAUGGGUUCUUACUCACAAGCUCGUUGUUAAUUUGUUGUUCUUAUAAUGCUUGUGAAGUUAUCUAGUUUUUUCUAUUGUGAGCUACUUUUAUUCGUGGUUUGUAAGAAUUGAUAACUAUUUGUGGUUGUGAUGUAAUAGCUAGCUCUAUGUGUGUUGGAUUAUUUGCUCUAGCUAUGGUUUAAUACUUUUUUGUUAUAUAUCUUGUCUUACUAAUCGUGUGCGGAGAUAUUCAUAUUUUUGCCCUUGUAGCAUAUGUUCCUACACUCGAUCUCAUUGCAAAAGGUAAUUUCAACUUUUGGGAUUUAUCUAACCAUAUAUAUGCUUCAUGGAAGCAUUGCAUUGUAUUGCUGUGGAUAAAUCCUUAUAGGUUCAUUCAUAUGUGUUAUGCCUUGAGAGGUAUUGCUCUAAACUUUGAAUGAAUGAAUCUACAUAUCCUUUAGAAAGCAAAUUGUUAAAUCUCUAAUUGUCGUCGCACGGUGCUCCGACACCGGGGGUGUGCGGUCACGGGCCCCUUUUAGGUUCAGUAGGGGCGUUGGGGCAGAGCCCCGGCGAUCGCCGGCACGGCCGAUGAGGCCCGGCGGGGCCGGCGAAGUGAGGUACUAGAAAGUGCGCGCUAAUCCAAGAACAUACACACGCACGUUUUUUACUCAGGUUCGGGCCACCCGGAGGUGUAAAACCCUACGUCCUGCUUGUCUAGGCUGGUAUUGAUUGUGGAUCAAGCGUUUACAAGUUGCCGGACAAGUCCCGGGCUUUCCUUACUACUCUUUGCUAGGGCUCCAAGCUAACUCAACUCGCGCGGAACCCAGACUCUAACUCUCUGAACCGAACUCAACUCACGCCGAACCCCCUAACCGUUGGCAUGGGUCCUUCUUUUAUAUUCAAGGGAAUGCCACAGGUGCCAUGGUGCAUGAGCUACAAGUGUCCAGCGGGGAGGUGUAACAUCCCAAAAUUUCAAACCUUUACAUGUGCAUUGCAUCCAUGAGCAUCAUGCCACAAUUGCAUGUUUGAAUUCAUAUUUUGAAUCACAAAAGACUUUAAGAGAUUUUGUUUACAUCCCUGUAACCUUUGGAUUUUCAAACCAAUAGGGUUGAUGUAUAAAAAGGGUUUAAUGCAUAUAUAAGCUAUCCCAUAAUUUUUGGUUAAUUAUUUGGAGUUGAAAAAAAAAAGUAUUUUUACUUAAAUAGUUAUAUGGCCCUAAAGCAUUUAUAGGGCAAAUGUAUUUUUACAUAUUUUAUUUUGAAGAGAAACUACUCCCAAAAGUUGUAUCAUGGUAGAACAUGAUUUUACAAAUUUUCUGGAAUUUAUUUGGACCAAUUUGGAGUUCAAACUCAAAAGAUAUCAAAGAAAUGGGAAAAAAAACAGAAAAAGAAAAGGUCUACAAGAAAAAAAAAAGAGGGUAAACGGACCGGCCCGACCGAAUUGGGCCGAACCGGCCCAACUCUUCAUGCGCACCCGCAGCCCAGCCAGCCCAGCGCCCGCACCCGCUGACAGGUGGGGCCCACCUGUCAGGCCUUCGUCUUCCCGAAGGAAACCCCGCGCGAUCUCCGCCGCCGACCCGCGCCGCGCCGUCGCCGCCGUGACACCCGCGCCCGCCGAUUUCGGCCUUCCCAAAGUUGCCCGAGCACGUCCUCUUAAAGCCCCUGCCCUCCUCUCCUUUUCCCCCAACCCAGCUCGCCCGAUUCGCCCCCAGGCUGCCCAAAUUUUGCGCCGCCGCCGCGCCAUUGCUGCCGCCGUCCGCCACCUGCCGUCGUGUCCCCGUCGACCUAGGCGUGGACUCCGACGUCCCCGAGGAGCGCCGCCGCCACCAGCGUCUCUGCCUCAACUCGCCGCGCACGCCCAUCUCCUCCCCGACCCGAGACCUCGCCGGAAGAGCCAGCCGCCGCGCCCCGCGUCGCCGGAAUCCUCGCCGGAAACCUAGCCCGCCGCCGGUAAGCCUCGAGCACCCCCGUCCGUCCGAUCUUUGAUCAACGGCUCGGAUUAGAUCGGGUUAAUUCCCUUAAGUGAACCGGUACGCGCCUAUCAGAAGCUGCCACGUGUCACCCGAUUUUUAUAAAAUAAAAAUGUAAUUUUAAUCCCCCGGAAUUAUUAAAAGGCACUUUUGCAGAUAGGCCCCUGUAACUUCAAAUGAUCAUAACUUUAAAUCUGUUUGGCCAAAUUUAGUGAUCCACACCUUUUUGGAAUCCUUAGGAAAUUUAGAAUCUUUUGGCACUGUCCAAUUUCAAAUUUGAAUAAUUGAAUCACAUUCAAAUUACAGAUUAGUGUUUUAUGCCUUUUAAAUCAUAACUAAUUAUCUAGAAGUCCUUUUUGAAUGAAACAAGUGCCCAAAAUUUUGUUUUAUUGUCCUCUGUCCAAUGGGACAGAGGGACAAAUAUUUUGAACUAAUCUAUCUGGCUGAUGCCAAUAAAACCUCAUUUUAGAGUUUAAACCCUAGCCAUUGCAAUUUAUUUUAAAAACCCUAAUUGCAUGUGCUUAAUUAUCAACGCCUUGGACCAGUAGAUCACCCAAAUAAAACCAACCCACUCAUGUCACAUGUUUUGCAUCACAUCAUGGCAUACAUAUUCUUUUGUCAUGUUUGAAUUGUGUGUUUAUGUGUGUGUAUAUGUUUGUUGAUUGUAUAGUAUUCUCGGAGAGCGAACCUUGCGAUUGUGACGAGUGUUUGAACUCCAACUACUAUCAAGGCAAGUACACUUUGAUCAUCUACCCUAUUAUCUUAUUAUGCACUAGAUUUUAUUAGUUGCAUUGUCAGGAUUAUUAUUGUAUCUAUGCUAGCUAUGAUCUAUCCUACUAGUAUAGGAUACCUUUGCCAUGACUUCACCACCAAUUGCCAUCGUAGUAGUAAAAUGCUAUGCUAUGAUAAUAUACGAGGGUGGUAUUAUUACAAUGUGAUACUAUUGAAUUACAAAUAUAGUUUUCCUAGUGUAUGGCAAAACAAGUAAUUCAAUGAACCGUCCUGCGUGGGCUGCUUUGAGUUUUCGGAUGUCGUGACGUUAGGUCCAUUUCUAUGGGGCCCGCUGAGUCGUCUCUCCGUGUGAUUCGGGAGCGUCCAUGGUCGUCUCCCCGUGCGAUUCGGGGAGCGCCUGCGUCACAAUGUGGGAUGCCACCCGGGAUAACCAGAGACUGGACUAGUUUCCUGUUUAGUAGCUUCCAGUACAACCACAUGGUAUUAUGGGCUCUGCCAGGAUGGAUGUAAGAAAUAUGAACCUGGAUCCGAGGUGACAUCGGUAUGUAGCAGUGUAGGUUGGAACGCGUCCCUCAGGUGGUUUGGGGAAAUAUGUUCUGAAAAUUCCUGUAAUCGAUGCCGUUGCUACUCCAUCUGGAGGACAGCAAGGGAUUAACACGUCGAUUUCUUGUGGGUAAAGUGUACCACCUCUCGAGAGUGUCAAACUAAGUACUUAGCCGUGUCCCCGGUUACGGACGAUUAUGAGCAACUGGAUAUUGAAGCUGUAAGGAAAGUCUCACUCAUUCAAAUUUCCUAAUAAAAUGAAUGGUUUGAACUGGGUAGGAGCAUUGAUGUUUCUACUCAAUGUGCCUAGGUUAACAGGAGCAUGGGUGUUUCUACCCCGUGUCCAAUAGAAUUCAAAACUAUUUGUCUAAAAAUGAUAGGAUUUGAAUAAUGAUGCUUUUAUGCAAAAUAGCCAAACCCCACCUAGCCAAACUAUGCAUGUACUUGGUAGGUCCUUUAUAACUCUAGUGAGCUUGCCAAUACAUUCAAAUGUAUUGACCACGUAGUGGCUGCAAUUAACAAUGCAGGUGGAUCCAACGUUGAGUGAGGUUCGUCGUUUUGUCAUGGGUCAUGUGCUUACAUUCCAACAUGCUCUCACCUUGGAGUAGUGUGGCCCUUAUGUUCUACCCUUUUCCGCUGCAGUAUUUUGAAACAUUGUUUUAUGAUGUUGAAACAAUAUUUGUUUUAUGCUGGCCCCAGAGGUCAUGCGAGGUUGUAAGUACUAUUAAAUUCUAGAUGAUGCGAUGUAAUAAAGUACUUUGACCUUUGCUUCUGUAUAUUUCAUCAUGAAACUGUGUGUGCUAGUGAGUCGAUCCAGGGACUAGCACAGUAAGCACAGAGAUCGAACCCUUGGUGAAGGGGGGGGAUCGCUUCAGGAGGCAUACAACUCCCCCCGGUGAGCUGGUGACGUGCAUGGAUGCCACCUCCGCUGCUAGGGGUCUAAAACCCUAGAGUAGGAUUGGACAGCCACUGUUCCUUUGAUCGGAUGGGUAACGACCCGUCGGUCGGCUCGUUUACUGAGCUGUGCGCCUUACUCCUUGCCCUGGUGGGACCGUGCAUCCCACGCCCGCCACGCGGCCUCACGUGGCGCUGUUGAUCUGGCCACUGGGCCCCACGCCUGAGGCGGGGGCAGGUGCCCGGGAACCCCCUGUCCCGGGAAGCACCCGGGCCCAACGCACCCGGGAAGCAGCUUCCCAAGAGGUGCCCAAGCGAGAAUGUUUCCCGAAGCCCCGCUAGCCCCUUCCGGGUUGGUAGCUUGCUGGGCUGCUCAUAGACGCUGCCCGGGAUGAAAUCUUCCCGGGAACUCGGGAAUGGGGCCCAUGCGUCGCGCAGCGGUGGUACCCCGGGUGCCACUGGUGCGACACUAAUUCUUUGCGAUUGAGUUGUCGGUUUAUAAAAUCUAGGAGUGUGUUGAUCCUAGUGUAUGUGCACUUUGCAUUUCAAGCAAAUUCAUUUGGUGCAUACACCUAGGAGGAGCCCGUUUAUAUUUUAUAUUCCUUUGCAUCGAUUUUAAUUGUUUAUCUGUAUGCAAAUCUUUGCGUUGUAAUCGAUCACCAAAAAGGGGGAGAUUGAAAGGGCAUUUCUCUCCUAAGUGGUUUUGGUGGUGACGAAAACAUUUUGUCAUGUGUAAUCUAAUCGUGUGGUAAGCAUUAUAUAUUUUUUAAAGAAUUUGGCACAAGACGAUGAGUGGACCUCAAGAUGGAAAGAAGCGUAGCGGUGUUAGCGGCUUUUUCGGUUUGAUUUGAUUCAUAGGACAUCCGUACUAUUAACAGGGAAUCCACAAGGGAAGGUAUUUGGUGAAUCACUUUCACGUGCACAAACACAUAUAUUGCACCCACUAAAAAGCCUACCCAUUUUGAGAGAGAAGAAACCACGCUACAAAAAUUCAGUUCUGAGUUUCCAGGUUCCCAGGUGGCGGAAGUGGAACUUCCGGCCCAACUUCCGGGUGCUCUCUGUAAGCCCCUUCGGAAUAUGCGGAACUUCCGGUCAGACAGAAGUUCUGGCAAUUUCCUGGAAGUUCUGGCCUGAGACAGACCACUGCAUAACGGCUCGAUUUUGUGGACCCUAUUUAUAUACCCGUUCGUCCCCAACGAUCUCCCUGUCCGAGCUUCAAGCCAAGAACACCAUUUCCUCUCUCAAGAACACAAGAACUUCAUCUCCCUUGAUCUCUCUCCCUAGUUGAUUUCCAAGGUCAAUACAUUGAGAAUAGGAAGAGAAGAUUGAGAUCUAGGGUUUCACCAAGUCAAAAGGUUGAUUCCCCUUGUUUUCUUUGUGGAUUUCGUUUCUCUUGGGUCAUUGGGAACCCUAGACGGAAGCGGUCGCCCCGUGCUCAUCCUUAGAGUUGAAGAGCUCGAGGAUUAGAUUGGAAGCUUCCAAUUGAGUUGUGGAGUGGUGCCCCGGUCAACUUUGUAAGGGUCCCGACUUCACCCUCAAGAAAGCCAUUUGUGGAGCUCACCUGACCUUUGUGGUGUUGUGAGAGGAGAAUAGAGUGAGGCUUUGUGGCGCCUCUACCUUUGUGGUACAGCACUCCUCCAAACGGAGACAUACACCUACCCCAAAAGGUGAAACUCCGGUCAAAUCUUCGUCUCCCGUGUGGUAUCACUUUUCCCCCUUUACAUUCUUGCAAGUUAUAUUGUAUAUCUUGUUGUUUCGGUUAUUGCACUUCAUACUAGGGUUGCAUUCACUUUAGAGAAUUUCGCACGCCUUAGGAUUAAGUGUUUGUAUCUUUCAAGAAAAGAAAAAGUUAAAGUUUGUUAGUCGCCUAUUCGCCCCCCCCCCCCCUCUAGUCGACCAUACCGAUAUUUCACCGGCCAAUGGAGCUGAUUGCUUGCAUUGCCCUUGAGGUCCUCAACUGGAUAUGCUACCAGCUCUAUAACACGACGAAUGGGGGACGCUCGCUCGCCCAGAGGAUCGCUGUGCAAUCGGAGUGAGACAGUUGUACCCUUCGACUCUCUAGAGUCCCGGCAUCAAGACAGAAUAACUGCCACGGGCAAGACCGUACAGUUGCAACUUAAGCAUGGUGAAACAGAUCAAACAAUACUAGCGCAAAUCCUGCGCAAUGGCUGGGCAUUACGAUUCAUUUCUAUAAUUUGGAACAAUGUUUUAUUUUUUUAGGGAAUUGAAGACGAAAACUCCUUCGAGAAACACCUUGCAUCCAAAACCCCGCUUAUAAUAUGUACUUUUUACUGUGAAUAACACUCGCUUGUAUAUAAUUUGAAAUAAAAAGUUUCUUCCACACAACUAUAACAUCAGAUAUUCUACGUUACAAUCAGGAUCGACCAAAAUAAAUUAUGUAGUUUUAACUCAUUUUAAUCUUGUUUUAGUAACAUAACGAAUCCUCGUGGCUUGCCUCCAACAACAAAAAAAGGCCCUUGUGGAUUGGGACUUUGGAAGCCUUUUUCUGCACUUUGACAAAGAUGGUAUACAGAACAUUUUUGUUUCAUAGUCACACUUUGUCACAAGCGACUACAAAAUUUAUCACAUACCAUGCUUUCUUAGCAGCCUGUUGCACAUGUCAUUUAUAUUCUUUUUGCUGAAAUUCACCAAUGUUGUAGGGGCCAUUUUUACUCUUCACACUUUUUAUGGCUUGUACAGUUUUGCAGUUUUUUUUAGCAAAAUCAUGUAUCAACAAGGUAUAUCUAUAGUCAGUAGUGGAUACUGGAAAAUUAUUAGGCCUUAUAUAAGGAGUAAACCAUGUACGAUGCAACAUCAUUAUAAUACUUCAUACAUGUUGAUUUGUGUUCUGAAAGUAAAGUAAAGAUCAAAAAAUUAAAGUAUUGACAUAAGUUAUAUAGACUAUAUACUACAAAUAGUUUGUUUCGAGGCAAAUUUUAGGUAUGGCGGCUGUUGUACCUUGCCAUACUGGUGGACCCAUCGCUGUCUGCAAUGUAUAAUAUGUUGGUUUUGCUUGUUCUAUCACAUGAUGAGUAAGCGUCACCCCAUGAAAAUAAGAGUGGAGUAAGAAAGAGCGAAAUCACUCCCUUGCACUUAAGCGUUGCCACAAUUAGGUCGGCUUGGCGGGGACUACAUGCCCUUCACUUUCCCCUUGUAAUUUAUCUCUCGAUGUGCCCUCACCAAUCUCUCUCUAUUUCUCUUCCUUACAUAGCCAGCGACGCAUCAUACGUCCUUACACAUCAUGCCCAGCAAUGCCUCAAACGAGAAAUAGUAGGGUUUGUCACAUCACAGUUCUCAUGAGCGAUGGUGGCGCAACUGUAUCAUGUCUCAACGGCAUCCCAUCUGUUGUGUAUCCUCUCUUCUACACCGACAACGUCUUUCUCACUAAAGUAAAAAUACAAUGUUCCAACAUUAGCCUCUGUCACAAAAAAAACUUCAAAUAUCCCAAUUGGUCUUAAAUUAACUGGGUAACAAGAAUAGGGGCACGCAUGCGUUAUUUGUACUAGUAAGGUGCCCCUGCUUCGCGACGACACACAUAUCUUGAUGUCCAACUUAUAAGGAAACAAAGAUCAGGGAUAUCAAAAUACUGAAAAUAAGAUGUUCCUGCUUCGCAACAGAAUACAUAUCACCGCCGUACCCAAUUAAUAAAGUAAAUAAGAUCGACAAUACCAAAAUAAUGAAAAACUACGAUAAAUAUUACACGUAGUCGUCAUGCCCAAAGGGGUAAGAAGAAUAUAGAUUGAGAUAAAAAAAAAUGACCUUGUAAGGAUAUAAACUUGAUAUAUACGUAGGAUAUAUAGCAUGUGUUACAUAAAUAUAAACAAAAAAAAUUGCUUCUAGGAUUCAAUUAAUAUAUGAGCAGAAAUUACAAACAAUAUUUUUGAAACAUAGGAAAUCUCCUAUGUGAAACUGAAGUUUUGAAGCUACAGAGCAUGUAUUGACCAUGCUACUAAGUCACGAGUAAAUUUUCUGUAUAGAUGGAACCACCAUAACCCUCGAUGAAUGAAAACACCAGCAAGAUUAAGUAGAUAAAGAGCAAGUAGUAAAAUUCCAAACUAAUUAAAAGAUCAUCCUACUUGUGCUUCUGAGCACGCAGAUCAUCAGUGCACUGUCCCUACAACAUCAACAUUAAUUAUGGGGUUUCAAGAGUACUAAUCAUCAGCAGCAGCUUGUUUGAUUAAGCUAACAACUUCAUUGAAAUGAAUCUGAAAGAACAACUACCAAACGUUAAUGGAGAGAAUACAGUGAAACAGGCUUACCAGUCUGCAACAUUCAGGUAAAGAAAGAAUUUGAAAUAGAGUUUGCCCAGUGUAUCGAUGAAGUGGUGCAUGCCAGUGAAAUUAAAGUUUGCUCAGUCUUGACAAAGUAAAAUACUUUUGUGUUUACAAUGGCAGGACUUGAUAGAAAACUUGAAAGGUAAUAAAAACGGUGCUCAAUUCUGCUCAAUCUUGAACUUACAUUAAGGGAACAAUCAGUAUUGCGUCUAGUGUGUGUGCUACUACUUGACUGUUUUCCGGAAAUCAAAAGCACACUACUAACAACUGAUCACUGGUGAACAAACUCUAUACUACACAUAAAAGUGUUUGAUGAAUUCCUAUACAGAUUUGGGUAUGCCUGGUAAGUCAUGUUGUCUUGCAUCAGAGAGUUGUUGUUUUAGUGUUUGCUAACUGAGAUAUAUUAUUUUGCUACUGGGGGCUUCAGUAGCCAUACCAACACAACUACCAAAUGAAACACGGCUUAAGAUUUUGGAUAGGGAAAUCUAGAAAUGAUCGAUAUGUCAGCUUGAAGAUAAAAACAUGCCGCCAUCAGGCUACUGGUAGCCAGCAUAGCUACCUACAAAAGAUUGAAACAGAGCAAUCAGUGUAAAUCACCAUGUAAUAUUGAUUCACCUCAAGCAAACACAGGUGUUGCUAUGGCUACUGAAGCCAUCCGGCAUAUCCAUCGAUGUUGAGAAAAAUAAUAAAGAACCUUUCUGCGUUGAGAGUUCAAAAGGCAAAAAAAAAAAGAGAAAAUAUGGAGGGCAUUUAACUUCGCAAUCUUAACAAGUUGAUCAUGGCCAUAGAAAAAUGGUUCCUUGUGGAAUAUCUGCAGUCAGAGUCAGCCGUUCAUGCUACCAAAUUAACUCCAGCCCACAAAUUCCGCUCAGGAAGUUGGCGAAUUGCUGUAGGUCUCGAGGGUCUCCCUCAAACCAUGGUUCUGACUCCUCGUAGGGAAUACCAAUGGAGGCAAAAUCUGUAGAAAAUUUGUGUAAUUUACAUUGUAACUCAAUAAUAGCAAAAAAAAAUUGCAUCUGUAGGAAUCUUGGAUCUUUAUGGAUCCUUCUUACUCAAUAAGUAUUCUUUAGACUUAUGUAAACCUGCAGGUUUCAGGUAUGAACAACCAUUUUAGGCCCUGUUUGUUUGGUCUUCUGCUUUAACUUUUGGUGCUUCUAGCUCUCUAAAAAUCACUUCUUCCGUUUACACAGGAAGCUGAGAAGCACGUCCGAAGGUGCUUCUUUUUAGAGAGCUAGAAGCACCAAAAACUGAAGCAAAAGACCAAACAAACAGGGCCUUAAGCUACGAUUGUAACCAGUAAACAAGAAGAAGCACAACAGGUACAUUGUGUAGAGUUUUGUGUCUUCAUAGGAAGGUACAAGAUGAGUUUUCUAAAACUGCCUGCUUGACAAAUAAUUAGAUUUUCGACGGAAAUGAAACAACACAAACUCUAAUUUUGGGAGCACUUCUGAACCAACAGAAAUAUACCUGAUGCUUUACUGUAUAAACAAUUGACUAAUAGGACCUUCAGCCUUCAUUUGAAGUAAUGGUCACCAAUCUGACGGGAGAAAAGCUUUCAAAGAUAAUUCAGUUAUAUUCACCUCUCCGCCUUCUAUAAUCAAAACUGAAGCCAAUUUUAAUCAACCUCCUGUAGUAAAUAUCACAAUCACCUUGCAUCUAACUGAACCGAGCUUAAGCAAGAUAAUUUAAAAUUACUGAAGAAAAGGUGCAGUACUAUUUUACAGCCACAAAAUAUAUACAAAAGCUUGCAUACAAUCCCAUUGCUCUGUUCCCAAAUACGAAAUACCUUCGUCAAUUUCCUUUCCGAACAUACCAAUUUAUUCCAGUUGAAUAAGAGGCCGACAGAGCCUCGGGACGAUUCAGCGGAGCACCGGCCGGUGGGAGGCGGGCGACGGAGCAGCAGCCGGCAGGACGGCGGUCGGCGGAGACGAGGACGGGCGGCGCCGGCUCUAGGUCGAACGCCGACGGGGAUUCCACCUAGCCCGCACCCUGCCGCCGCAGAACUGAGGCGGGGAGGAGGGUGGCGCGAGGAAAGGAGGAGGUCGACGGUGCUGCCGAGGAGAGCUCGGGCAUCAACUUGCAGGGGCCACAGCGUCCGGUGGCGACCUCGCGCGGAGAGAGCCAGAUAUGGAGGGCAGAGGGGAGGCGGGGGCGGAGGAGAGCAGGGGCUGCGGGCAGGGGCGGACCCAGUUGGGGUUUGCCCCACCCACUAAUUUUAGAAGUCAUUUUUUGCCAAUAAAAACUAUCAGAAAAAAUGAGAAUAAAAUAGAACUACUAUGUAUUUGCCCCAUCCAAUAUUAAAAACACAGUGUUUGCCCUCACUCCAAAUUCAAAACCUGGGUCCGUCAUUGGCGGCGGGCACGAUGGGACUGACGGCGGCUUGAUGAUGGGAUCGGCCGAUCGGGGAUGGGGGAGGGAUCGUGUGUGGGGACUGGGGGUCAUAGAGACGGUAAGUUUUUUUUAGGGAAUCGGCACAGAGGGGGUCUGCGGGCGGGGUCGGAAGGACGACGUACCAAUGCAGGCGACGUACGGACAACUGAGGCUUAAGGAAUAUAGUAAAGAUAAAGAAAAGAAAGAGUAGAGAUAAAGAUAAAAAUAAAGAUAAAGAUAAAGAUUUUUUGCGCGCCUACGGGCUACGGCCCAUCCCAUUUGCAUCCAUAGCCCACAGAAAACCCAGUACGUCUGCAGCACCCGUUUCGAAUAUUCGUCCAUCUACAAGCGAGAUAUUGGCGUCCCUGGCGGCUUGGUGGGCCAAGCCCGUUUAUACAACCCUCGAAAGUAGUGGCUAGGGUUUAUAAGGCAGCGGGCAGCGCUCCUCCCCUCCUGCGCCGCCGCUUCCUCAUCUCAUCUCAUUCCUCUCAACCCUCUCGGAUCGGGAGGUGGAAGCGAGACCCCUAGGUGAGACCCGCCCGCCCUUCCCUCUCAUCCUCCUUCCUCGCUUUGUUUGCUUCCUGGAACUCGUCGAUCUAGAUGCGUGCUGGUUCUAUUUCUUCCUAUCGUGGGGAAUUGCUCGGUUGACUUGUUUAUGGUUUGUGUUGGAAUCUGUUCUUGUGUGUUCAGUUUUACGGUUUGUGUUGAUGCGGUUAGAACACUGGCCUGAUUCGCUUGAAGUGUUUCAGAUGCUCGUUCAUCGUUUUCGUUAGUUCAAGCUAUAUGAUUCCAUUUGGUGGACGGGAUGUACUCUCCCUUACACUGUUUACUCGUUUGCGACGUAGAUCUAUUGUUUCUCCGUUCGUAAUAAGCUGUUUAAGCGUAGACUUGUCUUCUCCAGUUCGGUUGUCUACUUUUUGGCCGUGAAAUUUCGCUCGUUAGUGCAUCUGGAAUGGAUAUGACUAAAUUCGUUUGAUAGACAUGUUCCUUUUUUUUUUUACUCUUUUGAGGUAGAUGUUAUAUUCCUCCAGAGGUAUCUGGUUCACUAGAAUGGUCAACGUGUAUGGUCCUGUUAGUGUCUGCUUGCUUGCCUUAGGCCCUGAUUGGAAGCCUGUUAUUUGGGCAAAACCGGUGUAAAUCCGUCCUCGCUGAAAACACCGAUUGGAUGGUCGUAUUGGGCAGGCAGUUUUCUGUCGUUUCGGCCGAUCCAACCGUAAAACAAAACACCCCACCUGACCUCCGUUUUUCUUAACGAGAGUUUAUUUCGUAUCCACAUAUUUGCGCGUGUAACUAAAUUCGGGUGGAAGAUUUUGCCAAGCUUCCACAUAUUCAUUUUAUGGAAUACUUGACGUAUAUUUGUGAAUUUAUAGACGAUUUUUGUUUAGUCCUUCUGAUCGCCUUCUUUUUUUAGACAUAGAAGUGAUUGCUGCAGGACUGUUAAGGUUCUCGUUUCAGAAUAAGCUGUUUAAGCGUAGACUUGUCUUCUCCAGUUCGGUUGUCUACUUUUUGGCCGUGAAAUUUCGCUCGUUAGUGCAUCUGGAAUGGAUAUGACUAAAUUCGCUAGAUAGACAUGUUCCUUUUUUUACUCUUUUGAGGUAGAUGUUAUAUUCCUCCAGAGGUAUGUGGUUCACUAGAAUGGUCAACGUGUAGUGUCUGCUUGCUUGCCUUAAUGUUUCCUCCACAUAUUCAUUUUAUGGAAUACUUCAAGUAUAUUUGUGAAUUUAUAGACGAUUUUAGCUUGGUCCUUCUGAUCGCUUUCUUUUUUUUACACAUCGAAGUGAGUGCUGCAGGACUGUCCAGAUUCUCGUUUCAGAAUAAUCUCUUCCUGAGUUAUCCUCUUAGCUUCCAUAUCGUUAUAUAUAAUACGAAUUGACGUACCUUUGUUUUUCUACCAAAUGGAAUGCUGUUCUGCACACCGUCGCCUAAAUGCCUUAAAUUAACCUUGCCCGUUUCCAGGCUCAUGCUUCACCUACACACAAUUUUGCCAUUUAUUCAUGCAACUUUGCAAAAGGUUUUUUGUUGCAUGUGUGAUUAAUAUUUAACAUUUCGAACCUAGUUGUGCUACUUAGUUUGUUUGCUGUAGGUGAAUAAACUUGGAUGAAUAAAACACCUUACUUGGUCAACCAUACAUCCUUGCUUGGCCAGGUAGCGGGCUAAUUAUAUUAAGUUAGUUUCUAUUAACGUAAUCUUAUGUAGACUAUCGGGAAAACCUAAUUAAUUUUUCUUUCUCUUGUCUUUUAGUUUAUGAAGUGCCUUGAAUAUUGCUGUGGCUGCCCUCUUUGUCCAUCUGAGAUAACAAGUUUCCUGCGCAUGAUUUUAGUAGUUCUUACUUUGUACUGUUUAUAAUUUACACAUCAUAUUUCCUUUUUACUCAAUUUCAUGGUGGGGUAUUAUGAAAAUUAGUGUGUUAUUGGACAUGCUGGGUUUAAACUUCUAUGCUUAUAGUGAUAUUUUUCUGUUUAGUUCUUCACAGUUGUUUUUUGGUUGCAUUGUAACCUGGUUGCUUUUCUCCGUACAGGAACUUCUCUUUGUUGCCUGAUAUUCAGAAACAGUCAAGAUGGUGAAGUUUACAGCAGAAGAGCUUCGCCGGAUUAUGGACAAGAAGAACAACAUCCGCAACAUGUCUGUUAUUGCUCAUGUGGACCAUGGUACGUCCCAGAACAGUGAUCUCUUUGACCAUUGAUGUUGUUUAACUUGUACAUAAUAAUAAUGCUACACUGUUAAUUCUGAAAAUUGUUUCUUUUUCGUUAGUUUGGUUAAUUUGGUUUUUGCAACAUUGUCCAUGCACUAUUGUUUUGUAAUGAUUGGAUUCAUCUCUACAAAGAGCAAUCGUUCUGAUUGGGUGAUAUGGAUUUGAUUGCUACAUCUUAUAUUAUGUUUGAUGUUUGUUUUGAUAAAGUAAAUUGCAGUUUAUGCUUUUUUGUUCUAUUCAGAGGACCAAUAAUUCUAGUGGUCAAUAUCUAGCCUCUUUUUUCACUGAUGUUAUUUGUUGUGAUUAUAUUUUUAUAACUUCAUAUUAACAUGGUUGUACAUGUGAAAUUCUGAUAUUUUGUCCCAGUAGAUUCAAUGCUUUCCUCAAUUCUUUAUUUCGUUAUCUACAUGUAUCAGACUUAUGUUAUUUUCAACUUGUCAUUGUCCUCUACUUAGUCCUUAAGAUGCAGUACUAUUUGCUCCUAUCUGUUUGACAUGCUGAUAUUUUCAGUUAUUGAUGCCUAUAUACUAAUUCUGUUAUUGUUGCCUAUAAAAUUGAGUUUAAAUCUGUUACUUUGUAUUUUGUUCAAUGCUCAAGCCUUGCUGUUCUAACUUGUUAUGUAUUAUUUCCAGGCAAAUCUACGCUUACGGAUUCCCUUGUGGCAGCUGCUGGGAUUAUUGCCCAGGAAGUUGCUGGUGAUGUUCGCAUGACUGAUACCCGUGCAGAUGAAGCAGAGCGUGGUAUUACGAUCAAAUCCACUGGUAUCUCUCUUUUCUACGAGAUGACUGAUGAGUCACUCCAGAUGUACAAGGGUGAGAGGGAUGGGAAUGAAUACCUGAUCAACCUUAUUGAUUCACCUGGACACGUUGAUUUUUCUUCGGAGGUCACAGCCGCCCUUCGUAUCACUGAUGGUGCUUUGGUGGUGGUUGACUGUAUUGAGGGUGUCUGUGUGCAGACUGAAACUGUGCUCCGCCAAGCUCUUGGUGAGAGGAUUAGACCUGUCCUUACUGUGAACAAGAUGGACAGGUGCUUCCUUGAGCUUCAAGUUGAAGGUGAGGAAGCCUAUCAGACUUUCUCCCGUGUCAUUGAAAAUGCCAAUGUCAUCAUGGCAACGUAUGAAGACAAGCUCCUUGGUGAUGUCCAAGUGUACCCAGAAAAGGGGACCGUGGCUUUCUCAGCUGGUUUGCAUGGCUGGGCUUUCACUCUCACAAAUUUUGCUAAGAUGUAUGCCUCCAAGUUUGGAGUUGAUGAAUCAAAGAUGAUGGAGAGGCUGUGGGGUGAGAACUUCUUUGACCCAACCACAAAGAAAUGGACCACCAAGAACACUGGCUCGGCUACUUGUAAGAGAGGUUUUGUUCAGUUCUGCUAUGAGCCAAUCAAGCAAAUCAUCAACACCUGCAUGAAUGAUCAGAAGGACAAGUUGUGGCCUAUGUUGAAGAAGCUUGGUGUGACCAUGAAGAAUGAUGAGAAGGACCUAAUGGGCAAGGCUCUCAUGAAGCGUGUCAUGCAAACUUGGCUGCCAGCCAGUCGUGCUCUGCUUGAGAUGAUGGUGUUUCAUCUUCCCUCCCCCUCAAAGGCACAGAGGUAUCGUGUGGAGAACUUGUAUGAGGGACCUCUUGAUGAUGUAUAUGCAACCGCUAUUAGAAACUGUGACCCCGAAGGUCCUCUUAUGCUGUAUGUUUCUAAGAUGAUUCCAGCAUCUGACAAGGGAAGAUUCUUUGCCUUUGGUCGUGUCUUCGCCGGGAGGGUUGCAACUGGCAUGAAGGUCCGUAUCAUGGGUCCCAACUAUGUUCCUGGUCAGAAGAAGGAUCUGUAUGUGAAGAGUGUCCAGCGUACUGUUAUCUGGAUGGGAAAGAAACAAGAGUCUGUUGAGGAUGUUCCAUGCGGUAACACUGUUGCUUUGGUUGGUCUUGACCAGUUCAUCACAAAGAAUGCGACCCUCACAAAUGAGAAGGAAACUGAUGCUUGCCCAAUCAGAGCAAUGAAGUUCUCUGUGUCUCCUGUUGUGCGUGUUGCUGUUCAGUGCAAGGUGGCCUCUGAUCUUCCUAAGCUUGUUGAAGGUUUGAAGCGUCUGGCCAAGUCUGAUCCUAUGGUUCUCUGUACCAUUGAAGAGUCUGGCGAGCAUAUCAUUGCUGGAGCUGGAGAGCUUCAUCUUGAAAUUUGCUUGAAGGAUCUGCAGGAUGACUUCAUGGGUGGUGCUGAAAUCAUUGUUUCCCCUCCUGUUGUCUCCUUCCGUGAGACUGUUCUUGAGAAGUCCAGCCGUACUGUUAUGAGCAAGUCCCCCAAUAAACAUAACCGUCUUUACAUGGAAGCUCGGCCGUUGGAAGAGGGACUAGCUGAGGCCAUUGAUGAUGGCCGCAUAGGCCCACGUGAUGAUCCUAAGGUGCGCUCCAAGAUCCUAUCCGAGGAGUUUGGUUGGGACAAGGAUCUUGCCAAGAAGAUUUGGUGCUUUGGACCUGAGACCACUGGCCCGAACAUGGUUGUUGAUAUGUGUAAGGGAGUACAGUAUCUUAAUGAAAUCAAGGACUCUGUUGUGGCUGGCUUCCAGUGGGCAUCAAAAGAAGGUGCAUUGGCUGAGGAGAACAUGCGAGGAAUUUGCUUUGAGGUCUGUGAUGUUGUGCUCCACACUGAUGCCAUUCACAGAGGCGGUGGGCAGGUUAUCCCUACGGCCAGGAGGGUCAUUUAUGCUUCUCAGCUCACUGCUAAGCCAAGGCUGCUGGAGCCUGUCUACCUGGUGGAGAUCCAGGCCCCGGAGAACGCACUUGGUGGUAUUUAUGGUGUUCUGAAUCAGAAGAGAGGGCAUGUGUUCGAGGAGAUGCAGAGGCCUGGUACCCCACUUUACAACAUCAAGGCUUAC